CACCCCUCUUUCGGGUGACAUUACUGGUCCGAAUAGAGACGGUACGUGAGGCGUGUGAUUAGUGAUUGUAGAGUAUUUCGGCCCGAUGAUUUACGGUUAAUUCCUGAUCUGUUUCCCCCGAAUAAAGUAACUUAGAUAAUUAUGGUUCAGUUGGUUCUAUUUUAUUUGGAUACAUGUGGUUUUGUGAAAUUAAUAAAGUGCGCGCUCAUGAUUUUUUUGUGAGAUUAUGAAAAUGGUUUUCUACCCCUCGUGGUAACUUGUUUUUAAAGGAAAAGAUUUCUGUGUGGAAAACGGUUUUAAAAAGAGUUUUUCGAUUUUCAUGAUUCUUGGUAUUUCAAAAUAAGUUUUCGAGUGAAAAACAUUUUAAACUAAUAGAUGUGGAUUUAUGAUGAAAAUAUGAUAAACUGGUGAUUGAAUGAAUGAAAAAUGGUAUAUGCGAUGUAGUGAUUGUAUGUGUAUGGUUAUACAUUGUGGUUGUAUCUUGUAUUUGUACGACGCCGUGCAAAUACAGGGGAGACUCUGUCAUGUGAACAGUGGGUUCCUGUAUUUGUGGCGGAUCUGACAUCCCCUGGGGUCAAGGUUUUUUUUUUUAAAAAAAUUGAUCACUUCCGCAUCGAUUUUAAAACUUCAAAGGGACCCUGAGGCGUGACAGUUGACCCUUUCAGGAAGCCAUAGGGAAUGGUCCAUAAAUAUCAGCAUGAAUUAUUUCUAAGACGUCAGAACUUCUAUUGGCAUCUAAUUUUCUAAUAUUUGUCUAUUUUUCCUGAAUGCACUUAACACGGAUUUGAAAGUUUGUAAAAUCAAGAGGAUCAAGAAUCCCAUCAGACACAAGUCUCUCAAUUCUCUAUUUAGAGAUGUGACACAAACACUUGUGCCAUAACGUAGUGGAAUUCUCAUUACUUAAUUUUCAUUUUGUACCGCGAGAACUAGUAUGCAAAAUUUCAUUAUAUGAAGCGAUUGUAUCCAACAAAUAUAGAUUGUCAUUUAUAUAUAAAGAACCAGUACCAAUAAGAUUUGAAUUUUGAAGAACCAGUACCAAUAUAGUUGAUUCACAUUUUCAGCUAAGUUUAUUUCUAAAUGAAAUAAACGAAAAGGGUAGCGUGCUACCUAUCUCUCAAAAAAAAUAAGAUUUGAAUUUUGAAAAAGACUAAAUUUAUUAUUUCCAAAUGAACAAGAGUAACUAGAUUUAUCCAAAACAGAAAUAGAAACCAAAUUCUGUCUAAACAACAGUAACGUAAAUUUCUCUUCCAAAUCUAAAUAAAAACCAAUCUUUAACAACAACCUAAAAGUCCCUAUGGCCUCAACUGCAAUUGAUUUGUUGUCGCAAAGAUGAAUCAUUCACCAUCAUUUGGCUGUCGGUCGUCAAGCAAGCUUGCAUAGACACACUUAUGUGAGUAGCAGCAGUAGAAUCUAUCCACGAAGUGUAUCUAGGAAGAGAAGUCAAAUUAACUUCAGAACAAGCCAAAGUGAGAAGCUUGCCUCUCUUAACACGCCAAACGGCAUACUUGGGAUAUUCUUUUUUCAUAUGUCCACCCUUCUUGCAGAAGUAACAAGUGAAUUUUGAAUCCUAUUUCUUUUGCCCUUUCUUUUGUGAUGUCCUAAUCGCAGCUUCUUCUUCUUGCACACAAUGAGAAUUAAGCUCGUUAAGAGAUCAUUUAUCCUUCUGAGUAUUGCAGCUUCUUCUUCUUGCACACAAUGAGAAUUAAGCUCGUUAAGAGAUCAUUUAUCCUUCUGAGUAUUGCAGCUUCUUCUUCUUGCACACAAUGAGAAUUAAGCUCGUUAAGAGAUCAUUUAUCCUUCUGAGUAUUGCAGCUUCUUCUUCUUGCACACAAUGAGAAUUAAGCUCGUUAAGAGAUCAUUUAUCCUUCUGAGUAUUGUAACUCAUUUUAAAUUGGCUGUAUUGUGUAGGAAGAGAAAUGAGAAUCAGAUGCACAAGCAAGUCCUCAAACAACUCUAGCUUUAGUUCCUUUAAUUAUGAAGCAACGUGAGAUAUCUCCAUGAUGUGCUCCCUUAGGUUGUCGUUUCCUUUAUAUCUUAUUGAAAUAAGUUUAGACAACCUUUAUGCACUUGGCGAAGCGCUUUUUCAUUUCCCCAUGGAACUUCUUAGCAUUAUCCUCAUCAAACAUAGCGCCCCUUAAAGUUUCUAGAAUUGCAUGUUUCAUUAUCAUGAGACUCAUGCAAUUAAAACGUUUCCACUUCUCAAAGUCCCUUUUUAUCUUUAAUGGAACUUUUAUUUGUAAGAGAAGGGGGUCGUUCUGUCCAUAGCGCAAUGUCCAAAUCCAUGCAACCGAGAACAAUCACAACAUUCUCUUUCCAAUUCUUGAAAUUUGUGCCAUUCGGCACUAGGAUUGAAUUGAUAUUUGCAGAUAUUGAAGAAGCAUCAGCAUUAACUAAACAGAGAAUUAGACUUCAAACAUUAGGCUCAUAACUUUUUUAAGAAUUUUUUUCCAUAACAAAACAUAAUAAAUAAAUUUAAAUAAUGGUGGGCCCCAAAACAAGAUACCUUGUACAACAUUGACAUUUAGUUUUUUGACAAAAAUAUCAACUGUAAAUGGUAAUCAAAUACUAAAAAUUAAUCCCGACAAAUAAUGUUUGGACUGACUAAUUAUUCACAUGGCACACUUGAUGAUUGUCAUAUAUUUAUUACCACAAGUGUAUGUGUAGUUUGGCCAAAUAGUAACUUCUUUUGGGCCGAUCACUAUUCACAUAAACAACAAAUACACACAUCCAAAUAUAUUACAUAAAUUAAUCUACACAAAAGAGGUUACUUUGGUAACAUGUUAUUUCAAUUAAUUUAUUUUAAAAAAUUAGACACCCCAAAAGUAAAAAAGUACCAAAAUUUGAAAAUUAUAUUUUGCAUACAAAAAAAGAAAAAUCAAAAUUCUCAUAAACUAGAAAUAUAAGGUAGGGGGCAGAUUGUUAGGGGUCGCAAGAUGACAGUUUUCAAUAGUUUUCAAGAUGCGAAAUUAAUCCUCCCUUGGGCCUUAUGGGUUAUUUUGCAACCCUAAAAACCUUAUUUUAUGAUCCUANACCAAAAUUUGAAAAUUAUAUUUUGCAUACAAAAAAAGAAAAAUCAAAAUUCUCAUAAACUAGAAAUAUAAGGUAGGGGGCAGAUUGUUAGGGGUCGCAAGAUGACAGUUUUCAAUAGUUUUCAAGAUGCGAAAUUAAUCCUCCCUUGGGCCUUAUGGGUUAUUUUGCAACCCUAAAAACCUUAUUUUAUGAUCCUAAAUCUUUAAAUAAUCAGAAUAUGAAAUCCAAAAUGUCAUAAAUCGAACAACAAUGUGAAAAACUAACAAAGAUUCAUGACAAUUUUAUUUAAAAAAUAGACAUCUAACGAUUUAAUCACGUGUGUCCGCUCUAAUACCACUUGUUAGAUCUUUAUGCAAAUAAAUGCAACUAACCCAAAAAUCACAUGUAAACCGUUAGACAAUUGUUAAUGUAUUUAAUUAUAAACACUAACCAAAAUUCAAGCAUGAUGAAAUAUGUUCAUAGACUUUAACUUCUCUCAAAUACCGAUCCUAGAAUUGAGUGCUUCCAAGUUUGGAUUCGUCAUCUCUCUAAUUUGCUCUCAAUGGGACAGGGCAAAUGAUGGCAAGAAUCCAACUCAGGACCACAACUGUAUUGUGUUUCUUAUAUACUAUAUAUAAUUUGGGUCCCAUAAACGUAGGGGUGGAACUGGGCCCGGGGCUAAACAAGGACCGGCCCAAUAGGCCAUGUUUGGGCCGGGCUUGGGUAUUAAAAAUAUAACUUUGGGUUCGGCCAGGCUUAAAAAUUUAGGCCCAAAAUAUUUUGGGCCUAUUCGGGCAUGUCCAAGUCCGGCCCGAGCCCGACCCAAAAGCCCGAUAUAUUAAUUAUCAAAAUAAAAUAUUUAAUUAUAUACAUAUUAUUUAUCUAUUAAAAGAAAUAAAUGAUAUAGUAUAUCAUAUAUAGUAUAUAUUGUUAUUAAUGAUAUGUACUUAUAUAUAUGAGGAUAUAAUAUAUAUUAGCAAAAUAUUUAGUUCUAUAUUAGGAUAUAUUUGAUGUUAGAUAUUAAUUUCUUUGAUGUAAUCAAACUAAAACUAAAUAUUUUAUUUUAAUUUUAUACAAAUAAAAGUAUUUAUGUAUUAUAUGAUAAAUGAAUGAAAUGAGCCUCCACAAAGCCCGAUGAGUAUUGGGCAUUGGGCUUGGGCUUGGGCUUAGGUCGGGCCUUAGUUUUUUAAAAAAAUUGGGUAAAAGCCCGACCCGAAGCCCAACAUUUUCAUUAGGGCUGGGCUUGGGCAUAGUAUUACCCGACCCAAACCCGGCCCAGUUCCACCCCUACAUAAACGCUAAUUAGUCAUGUACAAGGCUUCUACACAUUAAUAGCCCGUACCUAAUAGAUGUCUCCAAAACUCAUGUUAGAUCACUUUGUGGUCCUGUUAAAUUAGAUAGGCCAUAAUAUUAUUGUAAAUUAAUAUUGUAGUACAUAAGAUUUUUUUAAUAUAGAAGUAACUGUAAAUAAAAAUAGUAUGAAAUACUAUUUUUAUUAGAUUUAGAGCAAUAAAGGAUAAUUUAGAAAUGGUUUACGAUUAAAUUAGAAUGAAAAUAAGAGUUUUGAAAUUUGUAUAUAAAACAGGGCUAAUAGUUCAACUGAAAAAUUUAUAGGACUGAAAAAUUAUGAAACUUUGAAAAGUUGAUUUUACUAUUUUUCUAAAGUCAGAUUUAAAGUUUUGUGUCAUUUGGAUACUUGAGCAGUGAAAACGGCGUAGAACUUUCGAUAGUCUAAAAUAAUCCAAAACCAAAAACUUAAGAUAAAUUGUAUCUAAUUAACUUUAAUUGAGUCUGCCUGUCAAAUUUAGGUAUAAAUCGACAUGCAGAAGGGCUCCAAUUGGAUGUACCAGAUCAAAAUUGGACUAAAAUUAAAUUACUUGAAUUAUUACGGGCCUUUUAGCGGAUUCUUCUCCUUGUUAGUUUAUAAUUUUGAAUCCGAUUUUUGGUGGAUUCUUGAUAGUGGAUAUGACGAGAGGUCUUUUUGAUGGAUUUUCGCUGAAACUGAAGCUUGGAAUUGGAUUUCUAUGUGAUUUAAGAUCCGAAUUUCGUAGAAUUUCGCCGAGGAAAUUUUUGGCCAUCUUGGGAGUGUUGUGGCAGCCAAGUCGAAUGGAUAACAUAGAUUACACCGAAUAAUCCUGCCAGGAAAAGAUAGCCAACACUUAAUGUGAAUGCUGAUGCAACAGCACAAGUGCAAGCACCAACCUUAUACAAUAAUGACCGAGUCUGUGGACAACACAGUAGUAGUUUAUUCUAGGAAAAUGCCAGAGUGACGACUACGGGCAUGGAAUUCAAUUCCCACCCAUGAGUUCUCAAAACAACAAAACCAUCCAAAUGGCAUAGAAACAAUCAACAUCAACAUCAACUAUUAUUUGGUGGUUAUCCAUAGGAUCGCUUAAUUUUUGACAGUGGUCACAUGCCUUAAAAGCAUUUGAACGACAUCACGGGAGAUGCUUUCGGCUUGUGACUUGAGGUGCUCGAUCUUUGCUUCUGUUUCUUGUUCAAGGCGCUUGACAUUCGCACCAGAGUCGCCGCUACUCUGAUCAUAGAAAAAGGAAAAGUAAUGGAUAAAUUUAACUCCAUUAGUUUAUGAGGAAAAAGGUCAUCCAUAAUUGUCGUUUACCUCCGCGACCUUCUUCUGAAAUUCAGCUUCCAUGUGUGCACGAUAUUCAGCAAUCUCCUUAUCCGCCUCUUCUUUAGCCUGCUUUAACCUAGCCAAUUUCGCUUCAUUCUCAAAAGAAAAAAAAGAAAAAAAUCAGUUCCAAUUAGUUCCGUUAUUAAUUCACAAACAACAAUUGAGAACACAAAUUCAUCUCAAUUCAACGAUUAAAAGGAAAAGGAAGAAUCAUGUGACAUCCUAUUUCGUUUAUAACCAAAAAAAAGUUGCAAAAUUUGAAACUGCAAAAACCCAAGAACGCUUUGUUACGAAUACCCUACAACAUAAAUUUCUACCAAAAUUUAAAUUAGUAUCCAAUCCAAACAAAGUACUCUGAAAAACUCAUAACAAAAAUUCACAAGAUCCUUGAUCAUGAGCUAUAAGUAAAAUUGGUUUAAGGCCACAAUUAUAUCACUUCAAACUUCUUGACUUAUUUUAAACUUGAGUACUGGUUUGGCAAUAGCUAGUCCGCAAGGGGAAGUAAUUGUGUACUUUGAGAACCAACUAGCAUGAUGUACAUUUCCAUGGCAGUGCAUUUUCUUCUUUGUUGUUAUUUUACUACUAGUAGGGUAGUUCUUUUCCUUUUUAGAAGUCAAUUUGAACAAGCUACCAACUUGGACCUUUUACCACUGCUCGCUUGAGUUCGGUUUACAAGGCAUACAAAGUACAAUGUUUCAACCAGCAGUUCUACACACUGCUCUGCUUCACUUCCUCUUGAUAAAGCUUAUAGCUAGGACCAUCACCAAAUUUUCCAUACUAAAGCAAGACAAAAAAGGGCAGCAAUUUACUGACAUACAACAUUGUCUAGAAACUCUACGCUCUUCAUAUCCUCCAUCUUUAACUAUUUGAUACUCUAGGUGUCUUUAUUGGAUACUAUAUUGACACAAUCUUAAAUGCUAGCUUUUCAUAUACAACAUUUUAAGAAGGUUCAAAAUGUGGAAAAGGUUUGAAUAGUUUAUGAAUAUACUAGGCCUUUUACAGAUGUAAUUAACAUCAAUGAUCUUCUCUGUAAAGCAAUAAUCCAAAUUGAAAGAGAUUCAUUAUAGAUGCCUAGUUUUCUACUCUGAAUAAAUUGGCGAUGCCUGGCUGUGCUUGCACUACCAUAGAUUGCAUUAUCAAUUUUUCAAUUAAAUAAAUAAGAUGCAAGCAACUGUAGUGCUUUCUUUUUGCGUACAUGCAUAUACAUGUUUGGAUGUUCAAGUUAAACAUUAUAUCCCUGUUUAUAUAUUUUGAGUAUACAUCAUUGUCUAAUUGGGAGCUAAAUUUAUAUAAUUUUAUGAGUAUAAGCACCUCGUUAUAAGUCAUUAUUGACAAUGAUACUACGGAAUAUAUGAUCCAUACCAUUAAGUAUGAUGUAGAGCAUUUCAAGUAUCUAAAAGCCAAGUUUCGUGUUGUCUUGCGUUUCAUGUUCUCCAAGUUUCAAUCUGAUCAGAUAUGGAUCACCAAUGGCUUGAUCUUUCAGUCUCAAAAUAUCAUAAAAUGCACUUAACAUACAAGUUUAAACUGACUGGUCCAAUUAAUAUUGACAACUCUCAAAAGUAUCUACUUAAACAAUCUCAUGAUUUAGCAUCAUUUUACUAGUAGCAUAGGUGCAUACCUAUAACCAGAAUUGUGGUAAGGCAAAUAAAUGAUCGCCAUUACCAGGAUAGAAAAGAAAUGAUGAUAGUUUCAGGCAGCAUUUCCAAAUCCUAAUGCAGCAUUUGAUAAAUGUCACUAAAAGACAAGCUUAUUAUGUAUAUCAUAUCCUAAUAUUAUUAUUAUUGAAUGACUCCUUACAUUCCAAAUAUUUAUUUAAAAUAUGUCAGUUUAUUAACAUUUUUUUAUAUCAAUGAUAGCCGUGUAUCUUGAUAAAUUAUCCGUAGUUAGAUACAUUUUCACGCAUAAAUGGCCUAACCAUGUUCAUAAGCCAUAAUUUUCCUUUUCCAUGAAAAAAAUACUUUCCCCCCUUUUUGAUAGUCUUACAUGGAGCCAAACAUUGCCUAACUAAAGCAUAUGUGUAAAUCACUUCAAAAUAUCUUAACACUCUAUGCAGAGAGGUUGACACUCAGAAAGCAAGAUUGCUUCUCUAGCACCUGACAUGGUUUAAAAUAACUCAAAUCUAAAUGGAAGAACUGACGAAGAACUGAAGAGAGGAAUAAUAAACAGGUAUUAUGCUUUUUCAUUUGAUAAUGCCAAUAUGGUAAAGAUGUCUAAAAUAUUCUUAUCUAUUAGUAAUAUAUUCACUGCGUAGUAAAUUAGAAAAAUUAUUGACAACGAAUGCAUCGCACCAAUCCAAAAAUGAAGUCAUUCACAUCUCGUUUAGAGAAUGGGAAGACAAAAAACAAUGUGAAAAAUGCUUCAACUACCAUGCUUCAUUAGUUAUUAACCAAAAAAAAAAGAUAUUAAUGUCACCAAAGCAACAAGAGCUUGUAUUGCACAACAGAGAUUUAUUAAAAGAAGCUACAUGCUUGCAACUUGCCAGUGAAUGAUGAUGUUUCUUUUCUUCUUUUUUUCCCCCUUCACAUUAUGCUUUUAGAACAACACAUGCACAAAGGUGAAAUAAGCCCCAAAGAACAUUACCAUUUCUUGCAGCAUUCACAAUCUGUUGAGCUUCUUGCUCAGCUGCUAGCAAUUGCUGGAUUCCACCUUGACGCCUGUUGGGAUCCAUCUUCUAGCUGCUAUGUACAAGAUAACUUUAUAGCUAAUUCAUCUACUGCUUGAAAGGAAGGAAAAUACAUGAUAUGAAGAAAAAAAAUACCAAAUUUUGCAAAUUAAGCUAAAGAUACUAAGACAACAAAUGUUGGAUGUGUGAACACGUAAGUAAAAAACUUUUCCCUUAACAGAGAUAAUUUAUCCACGAGGUAUGGAGACUCAACAAGAUUGUAUUUGCAAAAUUUUCCUUCCACUAUAGAUUUCGAGAGAGAGGAACGUCGGAUCCUCCAUAAGAAAACAAACACCUUUCCGUUAUUGAUAAGUUUUCUGCUAUAUGCUCUUCAUGCUGUGGAACCUGAGAAAGCUUCUCUCCGCUAAGGGACAUAUGUGACGGUGCAAUCUCCUUAAUAAAUGAUGAAGGAUGAUGAUGCCUCAAUAUGGGAGUGGGAAGGUAGAUAACUCUCAACCUUAGGAUCUAGCAGAGAAACAAGAAAAUUAAAGAGUUCACCUGAGGCUAUCUCUAAAUUAUUUCCUUAAGAAUGGGAAUAACUUAAUCAACUCUAAUAUGCAAUAGCUUCAAAGUAGGUGGAUCAAUAAAGAAGGUUGAUCAAUAAAGAGAGAAGAAGAAAAAGUCCACUAGUUGAAGCUAGUUAUUCUCUUUUCUGUGGUGGUUCAAAAAGUUAUAAAAAAUAAGAAGUUGAAAGCACAUCACUUAUCAACACCAGUAACGGGUAGUAUACAAUGUGUGAGCAACAACAAGUGUAGGAGGCCCACAAAUUGACAAAGUGCUAUUAGGUUGAGCAGGCAACAAUGGUUGAGCAGCGAAAAUUAAUCAGUUGGCUAUUAGUUUUGAGAUGCUUGACAGCUUUUGAUCAUUAUAUUUAACUUGAUUGUAUCAAAUUCUGACAACUAAGGUUGUAUACUAGACUUUGAAAUCCACCAUGCUCGAAAAACAUAGAUCAUGGAGAAAUGAGAAACAAAAAGAGAAUAGCAGCAGCUCAAUACAAAGCAAAGAUAGACCAUAUCUCUAACUUGAAAAAUAUAAUUGCAUCAAUUAUAAAACUAAUUGAGAUUUAUUAACUUCUGUUUACCUCAAAAAAAGUAGGCCAAACACCUAAAUAGAGUAAAUCACCAAAAAAAAAAAAAAUCAACCAAGUCAGGUCAUCGGGAGCUAGAGGAAUAUAUUCAAACACCUAAUUCACUUGUGUGUACAAUUCUUACAAUAAAACAUAUUUGGUGUGUGUGUGCAAUUCUUACAAUAAAACUUUUUGGGGCGGGCGGGAGGUGGGGUGUGUUACAAUUCUUACAAUAAAACAUAUUUGGUCAUUUCUUAUCACCCCUCUUCUGGUAGUUCCUUUAAACAAAAAAAAAAACAAUUUACCACUAGGAUUUCAGUGGCAUAAACAACAACUCCUUUUUGGUCUCAUUAUUUGCCAUGAAUUGAAAGCAAUUAGCAAGCUGACCUAAGUGCUCAUUGGCAUCGUUAAAUGAAGUUUCAAGUGAAUGCAAGGUUGAACAAAAUUGUUCAUUGAUUGAAUCCUCUACAAGUGGUGACUUUCAUUUCUUUGAUUUUGCCGAUGUGCCACCAUUCGAAGUGUUUACUCGAGCACUACUUUGUUCCACAAAAAGCAUCUCGACAUCAGGAUAUUGGGUGGAUGCGUGUCAUUAAUUCUUCCUCUAGGUUUUUUACGUUUAGGUCAACGCAUGAUUAAUUAGGGCAUAAAAUAUAAAUAAAUUUUCCCUAACAUUUCCAAAUCAGGUCCAGGAAAAGGGAGAUGAAAAAAAAACGAAAUCCAAAACUAGAUUAAUAAGAAUAAAAAAUUCCAAAGUUCCUAUUAAGCAUGUCCUGUAGAAAGAUUGCAACUAAACAAAACAAGACAUGGCUUCAGAUCUAACGAAGUUUGCAACAGAUCUGUAAUCAAUAUGUGAAGACGAGGCAUAAACACUCCUUAAAUCGACGAAAAAAGGGAAAAAAAAAAAACCCCAAAUCGGAUCUAACUUCGGUUCGAAAACAAUUGGUUUUAGCAAGAGAGAAGAAGUGAUUAAAUAUGCUUGCGAAAAUGGCGAAUGGAGGGAAGGAGGUCGCGAAGAUUACCUUGGAGGAUGACGCUGCAGAAGAGGAUAGGAAGAGGAUAGUUGUUCGUGCGAGAGAGAGAGAGAGAGAGAGAGAGAGAGAGGGGGGGCAGCGUGCGUGUCAGAGAGCGAUAGGAACGAUGGUGUUGAUAGGGUUUGGGGGAUGUUGGAGGGUACAAUUGGCAUAUUACAUAGGGUUAAUGACAUGCACGUCCCUGCAAACAUGAUGAAUUAUAGAUAUAUCCCUAUAAAGCUCAACUUUCAUAAGUUAUUUCUGCAAAAGUCCUAAUCAGUGAUUUAAAAGGCGCGCCUCAGGCGCGUGCGUAGGCACCUAGGCGCUAGGCGAGGAGGCUCGCGCCUAGGAAGACCCUAGGCGGGCGACUCGCCCAGGCGCGCGCCUCGUGGGCCUAGGCGCAUGCCUACACUGAGGCGCAAGGCGCGCCUGAGGCAAAAAAAAACGGCUAAUGGGUUUGGACUUUGAUCCAACAUCCAUGAUCCAACUAACCCAUUAAGUGUAAAAAAGAAAAAAAAAAAAAACAGGAGAAGCCCUAGAGUUGAUCGGACUCCCUGACACUUCCGCUCGUCACUCGAGGAACCAUCUGCUCGUCGCUCGCUAGCUCUCCACGGCUCCGCGGCCUCCGCUCGUCGCUCGAGCAACCAUCCGCUCGUUGCUCGCUAGCUCUCCACGGCUCCGCGGCCUCCGCUCGACGAAGAAUCCCUCUCUUUCUUGCUCCAUAGUCCGCGCGACGUGCUUCGCUUGACGGCUCGAGCUUUUCACUCUCUCUCUUUCUCGCUCACUCUCUGAGGUUCAAGUGUUCAACUCAACCCACAUCGAGGCUUUACCCUCUCACACUCAAGUGUGAUCUCUUCCCCUCUCACACUUUUUUAAUUUCUCUUCCUCUCUCACUCUACGGUCUCUACCUCUCACGUUUUUUUCUUUUUGUAAACACUAAACAGAGAGCACUCUCUCUGUUUUUUUUUUUUAAACAGUAAAUACACACACUCUCUCUCUCGCUGUUUUUUUUUUCUUUUUUGUGUGAACAGUAAACAGCUAAACACUUUUUAUUUUAUUUUUAUUUUUUGGUAAACAUUGUUUUCUUUUUAUUUUUUUGUAAACAGUAAAGACUAUGUUUUCUCUUUUUUUCUUUUUUUUUAAUAGAAAAGACAGUAUUUUUUUUAACAGAAAAUAAUUUUUGUUUAAUAGUAAAAACUAUGUGAUUACUCUCUUUUUUUUUUAUAAUCAUAUAUCUGUUGUUUUUUUCUUUUUUGUCAUCUUUUUAUUCUGACGAUGUGAUUAUUUGGUUAUUCAUAAAAUAUCUAUUGUGUAAUAUGAUUUUUAAAGAGUAUUCAUUGUCUUAUAAUAAUUGUUAAAAAGUAUAUUUGUUUAUUUCAAGUAUGCGCCUCACCUCUCUCAGGCGCGCGCCUGCGCCUUGCGCCUUGUGCCUAGGCUCUAUCAGCCUUUUGCGUCUUGGUGCGCUUUAGGCUUUUUAAAACACUAGUCCUAAUAUAUUCAGGUAUAUCCCUCUGGUUAGGAUCCGUUAGAGAGCCGUUAAUUUUUUAAUAGUAGAGUUGUGAAACGACAAUUUUGCCCUUGCCCUCUUCAGGCUGCGGGAGCAGGCGGCGGCGACGGCGGUGGCGAUGGCGACCUUGCGGAGCUUGUCGGGGUUGCGGCCAACGAGGACAAGGAAAAGACGGAAGGCGAAGGCGCAGCCAAUGCCGUCGGAGGCGCCCGUGACGACGGCCCACGCGGGCACCACAACGGCGAUGACGAUCAGAUCAUCGACUACGACGAUGAAGGAGGAAAAGGAGGAUAUGGAGAAGAAGAGGAAAAAGAAGAAGCAGGAGAGGAAGAGGAAGAGGAAGAAGAGGAAGAAUGACAAAAUUGUCGAUUCACAUUAUUAAUUAACUAUGGUUAAGUAUUUUAACUGUGGUUAACGAAAUUUCUCUAACGGAUCCUAACGGUAAGGACAUAUCUGAAUAUAUUAGGACUUUUGUAGGGAUAACUUAUAAAAGUUGAGCUUUACAGGGAUAUAUCUGCAAUUCACCAUAUUUGCAGGGACGUGUAUGCAAUUAAUCCUAUUACAUAAUAUGCAAUAUUACCUGUCUUUAGUAAUUCAAAAUAUACCUCCCCUCAAUAAUAUAAACAUGCCUUUAGUAAUUCAAAAUAUACCUCCCCUCAAUAAUAUAACAUACCGAUGAACUAAACACACUAAUCCUGAUAAGAUUGCUUGUAAUCUUACUAAGAAAAUCUGAACCAAACGCAUCCUAAAAAAUAGGUUACAUGCCGUAUGUAAUUAAAAAAGGAUAAAAAAAAAUAUAAUUAAAUGUAUGUAUGUCAUUGUAAUUGUAUGGAAAUCCUCUCAACUACAAGCCAUUUUGAAAUAGACCCUUCAGCUACUUUUUAUUUUUGAUCUACACCUCGUGAAAUCUCAACUGUUUCUUGUUUCGAUUCAAAUUAUUUUUCUAAAUCAAAUUUGAGUAUUUGUUAGAGUAUGGCUCUAUAAAGCAAUCAGCCAACAGUUGACAAAAUCUACAGUUUCAUCAACUAAAAAGUGCUCAAAAUAGUUUAAUUUCAUAGAAUCUAUAUCAAUAUUUAUCUAUAUAUCUAUCUAUACUAGAAUAUGUAGUAAAUCUACAACUAAAUAAAGUCAGAGACACAAAUCCUUCGAAUCUAAAAUCCGUAAAUAUUUAAUCCCCUCUCCUUUGAUAGCUCCUGUAAUCUAACUGAUUUACACUUACAUAAUAAUUUAACUCAAUUAAGAAAUUUCAUAUGCACUUUUUUAGUAAGAUUGACCAUCACACAUACAGCAUACCCUCUUACGAAGUAUCUAACGCAAAAGAUUUUUACACAAAUAAUAGGCUAUAAAAUGUAUGGAUAGUCCCAAUAGCACCCUCAAAUUUUCGACUUUGUCUCAAAAUGUUAAUGAAAAUUCAAAAUUUUUUAAUGUUUAUUUAAUAUUUUACUAUCUAAUUUAUUUUAUUUAUUAAUGCUUAUUUAUUUUUUUUAAUAACGUUCCUUUAGCCCCCGCUCCGCUUGCGCUCGCGCGCAAGAAGCGUAGAGUCGUUGCGCACUCUGCGCUACGUGCGAGUACGCAAGUAGCUCAUUAAGAGGUGGCUAAUUAUGUGGAGUAGAACGUUGGACUCCAACGUUCUGAAAUUGGACCCUCUCUAUAUAUUAUUGGGGGUCUACUAUUGAUGUUUACAAGGUUUUACAAAAACAGUAUAGAAAGAACUACAGUAAAAUUUUGAGAAUUGGUUUUAUGCUUUUCACUUUCUCUUAUUUAUUUAAUUCUUUCGUCGCCGGGUGUUGAAAGAAGCUUCGUCAACCUCUUCCGCGUUCGUGCUCGUAGGAGGAGGAAUUCUGGUCGUAUUUUGGGGCGGUGUUUCUGGUUAAUCCCGCACGAAGGACGGGAAUAUGCCUUAGGGCAGUGCUCCGCACGCUUCCGGAUCAAAUAAUUUGUCAUUAUUCUUUUACAAUUUUUUUGGAAUUUAGCAAUUAUCGGUAAGUCAAUGUUAUUAAUUUUAUCACAAAAUUAGUUAGAUUUAGUCACAAUCGAAGUUCGUUGUGGUUUCUUCCCCAACACAAAACUCCUCACCUGAACAGUUUAAUCCCUCAAAUUUCGCAAGAACAUCAGCAAAAAAUUAGCCAAAGAGCAGCUUUCCCGCGUAGUAUGCGAAAAAACAACGAAUAGAUCUAAUAAAACAAGGUAACUAAGAUUGGAAUUGAUAAACCGUAGAAACUUAGGGAUUAAACAAAAAAAAAGAAAAGAAAAGAAAAGAAAACUGAUUAGAUCUACCCAAACAGAUAAGUAGAGAACGGAAAAAAAGAAAAUUAAAGCGAGUAAUGGUCGAAACUGAACCUACUAAGAGAAUCGAGAAGAGAGGAGCGCCGGAGAAAGAGAACGAGGAAUCAACGGAGAGGAAGACGACGAGGAACGGCGCAGUUAGGGUUUCGAAAUAGGCCACGGGCGAUGACAUUUAUCGGGUUCGGGGCGAGGAGUGGAGGGUUAGGGUUUUCGUUUGUGGGCCAGGUCGGCGGAUUAUAAAACGGCCAAUUUAGAUAGUAUAAAUAGUCCGGCCUAUUAAGGAUCCGGCCUAUUAAGCGAUGCGAACUUUUAAGGCUAACAUGUGCUAGAUGUACGAUCCCUUUGACAUUGAAGGCAUGUUUGGCUUCUAAUUGAAAUAGGAUUGAAUUAUUUUAGAAUGAAAAAUAGAGUGAUGGAUCAUCAAAAAAUAUUUGGUUCAUUAUCGGAAUAAAAAUCGGAAUGAAAAUUCAGAGAGAAUUUUGAUUAAAAGAGAGGAAAGUGAUGAAGAGAGAGAAGAUAGGUGUCGGUGAAAGAGAAUUUUAAAUAGUUUAUUUUUGAAUGGGCCAAUACGAAAUUCAAAAUCGGCAUGGUCCGCGACUUCACCAGGGUGCAGUCCCUCACCGUCGCAACCCCCACACACUCUUUGUCGCCGCUCUGUCACGAGGUUAGCAUUUUCGCCUUGAAAAUCCCCACGCGGUGCUCAAGUGUCGCACACUCGAGCCAGCCUUCUCGAGUCCCUAACACGGACAACUCUCCCAAACUUAACAGCGGAAUACCAAUUCAAGCAUUUUGCCAAGCUUGCUCCUCUGCGAGACUUAUAGCCCGACCCUUCGCCUGAAAUCGAACCCCUCGUCGAACUCCUCGAGUUCCCAACGAGCAACCCCAAUACCGAGGUUGGCCACCAAGCAAGGUGUAUCCCGUUUCGUCAACCAAACCCUCCUCGAGAGUGCUCCGUAGCUGAAUGCCUUGCUGCAUUGAUCACUAGCCCCAAGGACAUAACAAGUUCUCCCCCCACUUGUCCCAAUAUGAGUCUAGCCGAGCGUCCUGCCUCACCAUGCGUUCCGCUCCCACGACUUGCCCUGCACGCCACUCGCGUUAAGGUCUGGGUUCGCAACAUCGCAUACCAUGAAGGACACUCAUAAACAUAUAUAUUUCACUAUCGUGCCUCAUGCGCCUGACAGUGUUCAUGGCCAUACCGCAUAAGCGGUCUGCUCGCCCGGUCCAACGGCAUACAUCCGAAAAGACACCCAAGUGCCUACCAAAUGUGGCCCCUAAGGAUGUCACGGUCAAGUCCCAACGAUCAACCCGUGACAGCCCGGCCUAGCACCGCUUGGGACGACACCAUCGACAGCCUCGCCCUCGCCCUCGCCCUCGACGGCGCUGCCAUCCCCCUCCCGCCCCGUGAAGGCGCCACCUGGGCCUCGCCGCACGUGUCCGUCACGCACACGCGCGCCACCAACACCGUCAACGUCAAACUAUGCGGGAAGUUCGCCAUGUCCGCCGUGGUGGUCCCCAUCACGGACGAGGAAUUACGGGUGCACUGUUACAACAUAAAUGGCGAAUAACUGCUUCGCGCACCUUUUCCUAGCGUUCAAGUUCCAUGACUUAACGGAGGAGGUCGACGACAUCUUGGGGCACACGUAUAGAAAGAAUUAUACGAGCAGGGCGAAGGUGGGGGCUGCAGUUCACGACAUCGGGCCUCUUCGCCGCGGAUUAAUUGCGCCGUCUCCUGCUUCCGUGCAGGCGCCUCCGUCAAGAAAGAGUAUGCAGACAUGCACUGUAAAAGCGGGCCGUAGACCAUGGGGUCCUCCGCUGCAACAGGUAAUAGGAUAAUAAUAUAUAGAGAAAGUAUGUGUGUGUGUGAGAGAGAGAGAGUGUGAGUAAACUCUUAUUAAAGGAGUACUUACAAAAAUAUAUAAUAUUAUCUAUUAACUCUAAUGAAUCCACAAUGUUUCUUGCUACGUGGCAAGAAACCCUUCAUUCUUAGGUUAAUAGAUAUAGAUAAUCAUAAAAUAAAACCCACCCACUUUGAGCCAAACCAAUUCUCUAAAAUAAUAAACCACUUUGAACCGAACCAAUUCUCUAAAUUAGCACUUGAACCGAACUGAACCAAUGAUCUGCCUAUCUAAUUUUAUUUUGUGUAUGAAAACCGAACCGAAGAACCAUUGAACUGCAUCUCUCUAAACCUCUGAACCGAACCGAACCGAACCAAUUCAUCGUCAUAAAUCCUCCUAAUAUUUCUUACAGUUUCGGAACCAAACCGAACAGAACCGAACCCUUUUUAAAAUCAAAUCGAUUCUCUAUAUAAAUUGGUUCUGAACCGAACCAUAGAACUCCCUCUCUCUGAACUUUUGAACUGAACCGAACCGAAUCGAACCCUAUCUAAACCUGUAAAUAAAACCGAACUAAAUUACUCUCUGUAUGCAAAGCGUUUACUGUCCGCUCCCUCUCCGCGUGCGCCCUUGCUGAAACGCUCCCCCUCCGUGCGCGCCCUUGCUGAAACGCUCCCCCUCCGCGCGCCCUUGCUGAAACGCUCCCCAUCCGCGCAUUCUUGCUUCUUCGCUCUCCCUCUUGAUUUCGUGUGGUAAGCCGUUUCCUCUCCUCCACCGCAGUAUCCAUACCCAAUUUCUGUUUCAGACAAGAUCGUGUCUCAUCAUUCAUCAAACUACCACCGUUUCAAAUGAGAUCGUGUAUUAUCAUUUCUUUAAUUAAAUCUACUGGCUGCCGCUUCCUCUACCCUCAUUGCUGCUACAUUUUUGCCUAUAUAUUUCAUCCAUCCCUUAGAUCAAAACCAUCAUGUGAUCGGUAAGAAAUUUAGGUAUUCUCUUAUAGAUUCAUCUUAAAUUAAAUAUAAGAAAUUUAGGUAUUCUUUCUUUUUUAUAUAAGAAUCUAUUAACUCUAAUGAAUCCACAAUGUUUCUUGCCACGUGGCAAGAAACCUUUCAUUCUUAAGUUAAUAGAUAUAGAUAAUCAUAAAAUAAAACCCACCCACUUUGAGCCAAACCAAUUCUCUCAAAUAAUAAACCACUUUGAACCGAACCAAUUCUCUAAAUUAGCACUUGAACCGAACUGAACCAAUGAUCUGCCUAUCUAAUUUUAUUUUGUGUAUGAAAACCGAACCGAAGAACCAUUGAACUGCAUCUCUCUAAACCUCUGAACCGAACCGAACCGAACCAAUUCAUCGUCAUAAAUCCUCCUAAUAUUUCUUACAGUUUCGGAACCAAACCGAACAGAACCGAACCCUUUUUAAAAUCAAAUCGAUUCUCUAUAUAAAUUGGUUCUGAACCGAACCAUAGAACUCCCUCUCUCUGAACUUUUGAACCGAAUCGAACCAUAGAAGUCCCUCUCUCUGAACUUUUGAACCGAACCGAACCGAAUCGAACCCUAUCUAAACCUGUAAAUAAAACCGAACCAAAUUACUCUAUGUAUGCAAAGCGUUUACUGUCCGCUCCCCCUCCGCGCGCGCCCUUGCUGAAACGCUCCCCCUCCGCGCGCGCCCUUGCUGAAACGCUCCCCCUCCGCGCGCCCUUGCUGAAACGCUCCCCAUCCGCGCAUUCUUGCUUCUUCGCUCUCCCUCUUGAUUUCGUGUGGUAAGCCGUUUCCUCUCCUCCACCGCAGCAUCCAUACCCUAUUUCUGUUUUAGACAAGAUCGUGUCUCAUCAUUCAUCAAACUACCACCGUUUCAAAUGAGAUCGUGUAUCAUCAUUUCUUUAAUUAAAUCUACUGGCUGCCGCUUCCUCUACCCUCAUUGCUGCUACAUUUUUGCCUAUAUAUUUCAUCCAUCCCUCAGAUCAAAAUCAUCAUGUGAUCGGUAAGAAAUUUAGGUAUUCUCUUAUAGAUUCAUCUUAAAUUAAAUAUAAGAAAUUUAGGUAUUCUUUCUUUUUUAUAUAAGAAUUUUAUUUUCUUUUUCCCAGGAAUCGACGCUCACAUUUCUACGAUCUGGACGUUUUCUUCUUCCUAGGGUUUCAGGUUAAUAUUUCUUUUUUUCAUGAAUUGUUUCUUUUUGAUAAUUUAAUCUUCAAUAAUAAGCCUUAAAUAUUUAUAUGCGAGUAUUGAUUUUCUGUUUUUAAUCAUCAUAUCUCUCAUCAUUUGUUCACAGGAAAAAUGUGGAAAAGUAAACAAAUUAUUCAUUAAUUAUAGGCGAAUAAUCGAUGAGUUCUUAAAUUAUUUCAUUGAUAUGUAGUUUUCCACUUAGCAUUCACAUGACAAAUAAUUAGUGGAAUGAUAGGGCCGGUGAAAGUUCAUGAAUGUAGAUUUAUAUUAAUCAUCUUCAAAUUCUUAUCCCAAUUCUUAGAAUUUUCUUUCAUUCAUCUUUUUUCGGAGUGAUGAACUGUACUUCCCUUUAUCUUUCAUUUGACUGCAGCAAUGGCGGCACCUGUUAGCAUUGCUAUUAAUUUUCGUCGUCUACUCCGCAAGAUCUGCGCUAAAUUUUCGCUCAAUUCUCCGAGUUAUGGAAUGACAUUAGAUGCGGACUUGCGAUUUUGUUCUUAUGUCGAUGUGGAAAUUCCAAGAAAUAGCCGAAGCAUAGAAGUCAUUACAAGUUGGGGUGCUAAUCGUACCAAAGAGGAUGCUGCAAGGAUUGCUAUUGGGAGGCUUCGCAACGAGCUAGGCUUUGAAGUUAAGGACACAAAUUACGAGGAAAGAAAAUAUUUAAGAGGUUUAUACGAUCAGAUUUGUCACGAUCAUGAAGAGCUUCGCGACGAAUAUGAAAUGCUUAAGUUAGACUACGACCUUCUUAGAAGGUUCUAUAAUUCUUUGGUCGUAUAAAGGGACCGAAUUGUUGCUGACUUGGAAGAAAUGAAGGAAAACAUUGAUAGAUGUUUUGAAAUAAUUCACGAGCCCAACGUUGCUCCACUGGAUGAUGAGUCGGCUGCAAACCCUGAUGAACAUGUGAUGCCGCCUUCUCCAGAUCAUUCGCCUACCGUAUGUGGUCCGGAGUAUACUAUGAUAACCGAAGAGGAUCUGAAGACACCUUUUGACCGCAAAAACUAAACUUUAUCUUUUUUUCUUCCUUGUUUCUCCUUUUUUUAGUUUCAUCCUUCCUUAUUCUGUCAUCUUUUUUCUCUUUCUUUUAGGAUUUUCCUUCUGUUUGUGUCGUGAGUAGCUAAGUUCUAUGUUUUUGUGUUUUCAUCUUUUUCUUUCGUAAUAGGAGUUGAUUGUUGUUUGCGUCCUUUUAAUACAGUGUCCUUUUUGUUUUAAUAUGGUGUUCAGUGUAGUGCACAUGUAAUAUACGAAAAAUUUCGGGUUGCGAUGCUAAUUUUAAUCUGGAAGAUUAAAGUGAAAUGUGAAUUAGAUGUACAUCAUUCCAGAGUGUUUCUAGACGUAUGGGAAUGAUUUCUAGAGGUAAUUGAGUAUUCGGGCACAAAUCGGGGGCGAGAUGAACGUGUAAGGGGAUUUUCGGAUUAUGACGCUAACUUUGAUCUACGCGAUCAAAGUAAGGUAUGAAUGUUAAUUAUAGUACCUCCAAAUUAUUUUGGAAGUGCGAGGAUAGUUAAUGGCAAAUUUCGAAGAUGCUUGGAGGUAAUAUGUCGGAUUUUUAUUUAGCGGCUAAUCUUGAUCAAAUUGAUCAAGAUAAUGCCAAAAUGAAAUUAAAUGCUUCCAAAUUAAAUUGGUAGCUUGUGGAGGUGUAUUAGCGUAUUUUGGGAGUGUUCGGAAGUGUUUGAGGCAAAGUAGAAGUGCGAAAUCACCUUGGAAAUAGGUGUGCUGGUGCAGAUUUUUCACUAAGGGCAGUAGGGACUGUUUUGUAAGGUUGCAGGGACCUCUUUAUAACAGCAAUUUCAGCUGCCAAGUGCAAUAAUGUAACACACUGGACCUUUGCAAAUUACGAGGUUUGAGUGUUUGAGCUGUGUUUCGAACUUUUUCAUGCUUUGUAGAGGGUCGUAGAAGGUGUUCCGACCUAAAAAGUUCGAAUCCUGAAAAUAGUUUUGUCCUGAGAGUUUUUACUCUCAGGGACCGGUCCCUGGUGGGAGAGAUCGGUCCCCUUGGAACAGUGUUGCGGCUGAUUGCGAGGCAACCGGUCCCUGACGGGUGAGACCGGUCCCCGAGCGCGUUUUCGCGGGGAGAGACUUGUCCCAUGCGGGGAGAGACCGGUUCCCAAAUGUUGGUUUUGCGGGACGAACCGAGAGACCGGUCCUAGGCAGGGAGAGACCGGUCCCUCUGGGCGAAAUCUGCCUAGACCGAGCUUUGCACAUGUUGCAAAGUUGAGGGGCUUUUCUGGAUUUUGUUACUUUAGAGGGCCUAUAUGGCCAUUCCACCCUCUCUCUCCCUCAUUUCACACUCUCCCUUAUGCCCUAGGAGAAGAAGAGGGAGAAGAAGAAGGAGAAGAAGGAGGAGAGGAAGUAGAGCUUGUUUGAGGACUUGGAGCUUCACCCCCACCCUCUCUUCUUCCUUCUGGUGGCUUGGAGCUUGCUUUUGGAGCUUGGUGGUGGAUCCAUCUUCAACCCAAGAGGAUUUUGAGCUUGGAUUGAAGCUUCUCAAGAGGUUAGUUGCCCAUUUCUCCCCUCUAAACCUAGUUUUGAUGGUUUUUGGGAGAUGGAACCCUAGAAUGGGAAAUCUAGGGUUUAUUUAGGGCUUUUUGAUUAAGGGCUUUUUGAGCUAAUCUAAUUGGAUUAGAACCUUGGUUUAGGUUACUUUGGAAGGGAUCUAGUUUCCAUUUGAGCUUUGGAAAGGGAUUUCUACACUAUAGGUGAGAUUUUGGCCCUUUUGCUUAGUAGAUUAAUGUUUGAGCUUGUAGUUGAUCGUAAGGUUCGUUUAACCUUUGUUCUUGUGCCUCUAGGGUACUAAGAGGCUAGGGGACACCUUCGUUGGAGCUUACGAAGGGUUUCGAGAUGGUUCGGUGGGUUUGACCUAGCCUAGCAUAUGAGAAAUUCUCAUAUCCUAUGUUUUAUGCUUCGUAAAGUAGAAAUUCAUGCAUUUCUAUGAUAAAUGUAAUUAUUGUGAAUUUUAGGAUGCUUAACAUGCCUAUGUUAUGUGUGGUGAAUUUUCGGACCUCUAUGUAGUAGAGAACUAGCAUGUGGAACUUGUACAAGAUUGGCAUCCUAUUGAAACUUGGAAUCAUAAUUCCUAUUGUGAAAAUGAGCAUUACUUUCAUGCAUUUAAAGGUUUUCCUACUUAAGACUUAAAGGAUCUUAGUAAGCCAUAAAGAGGCUUGGGGAAGCGGCAUUGAGCUCGGGUCAUGUAUGAACCUAGUGUCAGGGUCAUUAAUGGAAUAUUGAAUAGGUGGGGUGCUUGACCUAUAGUAAUGCUUAAGUGUCAUAAAGAGGCACUAAGCAUAGUGAGAGUCGGAACUUCACCUUGAGACAUAGAACUAGAUCGUUGGAUGCUAGUGGCUAUUACCAUGUUAGAGGCAUGAGGAUUGGGUACUUUAGAUGAAGAUUACACUUGCUUGUCAUUUGUGCUCAUUCGCACAUGCUUGUGAGGGUCGCUCCCUACAAGCCGGCACUCCGGAGUUGGCCUACGCGACUUAUGCUCGCUCGUGCGGUAUCGAGAAACCUACGGGGUCGGGAGGGAUAGACUCAUUCCUAGAGUGGGAAUGCUAGAGCCGACACUUAGGUGGCACAAGCUGGACUACACUAUGUAGGUCCUAGAACAUGUUGGAAACAAUGACAUUGAACGGGGAAAUGACAAUCACUACUAGAUAGGCUUUGUAGUUGGAUUACUUUGACAUGCUUAUAGCAUAGUGCUGAGACAUGUAGUAUACUUGACAGUUUACUUGUUACAUCAUAGUAUACUUGGUUGCCAUGAUAGAUCAUUAUCAACAUACAUUGAUAGAACGGAUCAUGAUAUUUACUUGUUGCCAUGUUGGGACAUAUUGUUUUAUGCAUUGGACAUACUUCACUUUAAUAAAGCAAAUGUACAACACUUGGACAUCAUGUUUAUUCGCGACAUAGUAGCUUAGCAUUUUAUUUAUGCUUUCAUAAAUGCAAUCUAUUUACUAUUUUUGUUGCUUUUUGGACUUACCCUUUUCUUUUGGGGCCUAGUGGUGCAUUGAGCUGAGGUCAGUAAUUGUCCACUGGGAACUAUAAAUUAUAGUUCUCACGCCCUCUGUUUUAUGUCUUAUUUCAGAGCCUUCUACGCCGGGAGAGGCUAAGGACCGCGGAAAGGGUAUCGCCUCGAGCUAGCUUGCUAUCGAGGGACGCGUUGAUAGGUGGUCUACCUCUCGUUGUUUUUUUUUUUGGAGAGGUUGAGAGUUAUAUCCAUGUGUAGUGACCACCCUUUUUGUGUACCCCUUUUUUUAGAGAUGGUUAUUGUAUAACUUUAUGACUCACUUUUAUUGUUUAGUAUAUUUUCUACCACCUUGUUAUAGAUGAUAGAUUUACUCUCGCUCUGAUAUCCCUAGUUGUAGAUCAUCUCUUUGGUUUUAUUUUUUGCUAUUAUUGUAGAUGUCUUAUAUGUGCUGACAUAUGGCAGAUCUAAGCGCGCUACUGGGAGGGCCUCCGCCGGUCCAGGGGCGUGACAAAUAAACUGCAGGGACCUAUUUGAAACAGCAAUUUCAGCUGCUAUUAAGUGCAAUAAACUGCAGAGACCAAAUUGUAAACAACAAUUUCAGUUUUUGUGGAGGAUUUAAGAGCAAUUGCUGUUACUGCUGCUGCUGUUAGUGCAGAGAACCUGCAGGGACUAAAGUGUAAUAACUGGACUGCAAUGCACUUUUUGGGUUUCAAGGGGUUAAAGUGCAAGUUUGUGAUCUUAUCACUUAACCUCAGGUAUUUGGCAUGUGUCCACGUACCAGGACCUUCCUCCAACAGCUCUUUUCUCAUCUAUUUCCUCAUCUCUUUCUCUCUCAGCCAUAGGAGCAGAGUAGUAAAGAGAAGCUUGUGGAGCUGAGUUUUUCUUGCUAUUGGAGCUAAGAAGAAACCCUGUGGAGUUGAAAAGGAGGCUUGUGAAGCUGAAGGAAACUUUUGGGAAGCUUCAAAUCCAGGUAAACUUAAUACUUAAUCCCUGGUUGAGAAGUAUUAGGGACUGUGAAGAUGAUUUCUGAAGUACUGUUGGCAGAUUUGGGCUUCGGGUUAGUUGGAGUUGCCGAAUUGAAUAACUCAGCUGAAGAAGCAUCAAAUUCGCGUAAGAAGCUUACUCUCAGCUGGAAAUUUGUUUCCUUAUUGUGUGAGAGAAAUUAAAGUUAUAGUAGUGUGAGGAAAACCUUGAACAUAUGCUGAAAGCAACAGGUAUGUACCCAGGUUGCUAGAAAUGAAAUCUAAGGUGGAUUAGCUUUAAAUUCUGGAGCAGUAAUGGAGUCGUUCCUAUGUAGAGAAGCUUCCCAGUGAUUAAAAAUUAAUGUGUAAAUGUAGGAAAUUCGAAAAGAAGCUAAGAACAAAUAGGGAUUGUGUAGCUACUGCCCUGGUACAAGAUCUGGGCGCCCGAAUUGUGAGGAAAACGUGGUGGAGCUUCCAUAACAUUUCGAAUAGAGAGAGAGGCCUAGUGGAACCUAAAUUCAGGUAAGUAAUGAUACUUUCCCCGGGUUUAGGUGAUAUGGAUUACUUUAAUGGAGUUGUGAAUAUUAGAAUUACUUAUUUUAAACAUGUAUUGGAGCUGUGAAGGGAAAUUGAAGUGCAAAAUUUCAACAUACACCCCUGGCUGUUGGAGCUGAUAUAGAGCCUGGUAGAACUUCGAAUCCAGGUGAGAUUAAUGUGAUUUCCUGGGUCAAUGAGUACUAGUUACUCUAGGAGAAUUAUAAACAAUAGAACUGAUUGUUCUAUGUUUGUAGUGCUGCAACAAGGGAGAAUAAUAGAACAUAUUUCAGCAUUGAAGUUAUUCACUGUUGGAAUUGAAAAUAAGCCAAUUGAGCAACGAAUUAAGGUAGUCCUGGUUAAAUAUUGAUUGAGAUCCAAUUAGUAGAACAGGGAGAUGCUAAUUGGAGGUCCUGUGGAAAUUGAAACUAGUAGAAACCCCAAAACUGCAUUAUGAAGCCUAGAAAGCUAGCUCUAAAUAUAUAGAUGAAGGUGAAUAUGUAUAUGUAUAUAUACUCGUGAUUAGCUAUUGGAGGAUGAGAAUCUGAGCUAAUAUUCUAAUAAAACCUAGUUAAGAUUGAUGUUAAUUCAUGUUAGGAAGGUUGCGGUAUGAGUGGACUAACUCCUAAAAGGAUGUUACAUUGUUGAGCCUAUAGUAAAUGGGAUAUUACAUAGGGUACUAGUGAGCUGUGACUUACGUAGAAGUAGAACCUGCAGCAGGGAAUAAUAUAAAUUAUUUAAGCUGAUAUCUAUUUAUUUCUAGUAGAUGUUAGUUGCAGGUUAUUGAUUCCUAAAUGUUACCAGGGAACUUAGCGGAAAAACUAUGUAUAUAUAUAUAUAUAUAUAUAUUGACCUUAUAUACAAAUUGGAGUUGAAAUGCAAAGUUUGUGAAAAUGAAAGUAUGACCUAAGUUUAAUCUCUUUUAUUCCUUAUUGAAGGAACGUGUAACGUGCUCGGAAGUUCGAAGUCACGUUCCGACAGAUCUACGGCGCACUAAUUACGGUAGGAGCCGUUCUGGCUCUAUUUGCUCCGAGUUGCGAGAGCUCGUUGUCGAUACAGUUCGAGACGUUGAUUCCAGUUUGUUGGCAUCCCUACAAACUUCCGAUGUCUAUGUUGCCUUCUUGAGCAUAUCUGUAUAUAAGUAAAAUAAUAUUAUGCAUUAUAGGGUUAAUGGUAUUAUAUGUUUAUGAAAUGAAUAAUUGGGCAAAUCUCAUUGUUAAGAACAUGUGAACCAUAGAGUGUGGACCAAGAACCCUAUGAAUGUGUGAAUUUUACUGUGGACUAUGACAAUAGUAAACUUGGUGACAUUAUGACUAGAAGCAUUGGUUAGCAUCAAUAUUGGAACUGUAAAACUAGUAUAAAGAGCUAGUUAGAAAUUAAAUUGUGGCAUCGUCAGUUAUUGAAUCCUCUAAGGGAGGAUUGGAUCAUACUCACCUAUUCAGUUUUGGCUUGGCGGUGGUCGCUCCCCCCAAGCAGUGCACUCCGGAGUGUGUCAUUAAAUGGGUUGAUCGUAUGAGUGUAGUACUCUGAACUUUGACAAAUUGCGAAGUUCGAAUGUUAGAAUUAUAAUUGGAACUAUUCUACAGCUUUUAGAGGAUUGUCAAGAGGUUUCAGUAAAUUACGGGAGCAAGUAGAUAGUUGGAUGUGGAAAAGUGCAUUGUAAAAUGCACUUUCUAAAUGUAUUACCCCAAGGUUGGUCAAUUAUGAAGUUUGAUGAGUGGGAUUGGUAGUGGGAGCCAAUCCACAUCUUUUAAAGAGUUGUAGUAAGGUUCUUAACAAGUUAAAGGGGUGAUCGAACAGCUCGAAAAUCGAAAGUGCAUUGAAAUUUCGAAUUGCAGGAUUUUGCAUUGUGUACCAGUACAGACUCAAUGUUGUACCGGUACACUUCGCAGCAGCUGCGUGGCUGAGGUGAUUUUGGUCAUUUCACCUCUUGAGCUUAUCCCUUAUCAGCUCAGCCCGAGCCCCAGCCUGUUCUUAUCAUGUUGGAGGCAGGGAACAGGGUAAGAACCAUUUCUCUCUUUCUCUCUCUAGAUUUUUUUCCAUUUUGAGGUGGAAAAGGGGAUUUGAGCCUAUUUCUUUCUCCUCUUUUGUGUGCGCUGGUUUGAGAGGCAUGGAGCAGCUGUGGAAAGGUGGAGGAAGGAUUUUUGGAGGUAAUUUACAGCCCUAACCCAGCUUGUAGCUGAAUGGAAGUUAGGUGAGAUGAACUACUCAAUUUUCUCUCUAGUUUUAAGCUAUACUAGGGAAGUGGAACCUGAACUUGGUUUGUUUGUCCCCAGCUGAAUUGGGAAGGUUUAAAGCAGCCUUAGAGGAAUUGUUUUGCUGUGAGGUUGCAACCUGGAACCAGGGACAAGCUGAAAUGAUGUUUGAAAGGUGAUUAACUAGCUAUUUCUCUACCUUAAUGCUGAAAAUAGUGAUGUUAGUGGUAAUUUGGGGCUGUUUUGGAUUAUUACUCGCAGCAGGAUAAGAAAGUUUUGUAGCUAAGCCCUGGGUGACUCUUGCAGCUGGUUUUGCAUUGGUUUUGCAAUUCGAAGCCAAAAGGAAAGCUCAAUUGAAGUUGUGGGUAAGUAUGCUAUCUAGUAGCUCUUGGAUUAGAGGUAUUAGUUAUAACUUUAGUGCAGUUUUGAGUUAUGAUCACAGCUGGUUUGCAGCAGGGAUAAUACUCCCUUCGAGUUGAAUUUAGAUGACCAUUGUGAGCUGGAUUUGGAGUGCUUCACCCUGUGUGAAGUGAAGGUUAAACUUUGGUUUAAAUCUAGGUAAGAUUCUAGCUUAAACUAUGUAAAUAUGAGAGAUUUACAUAUAGAGAUUAAAGUUGAACCCCUAGCUGAAUUUGAACUAUUGUUUGAGUGCUUAGAGGCUUCGGAUCACUGCGAAUGGAAUUUUAGUGAUUCUGAAAGAUUGGUUAUGAAGUGCUUCAAUUUGGUAUAAAGGAAAGUUCAUGAGCGAAUUCUAAACUAGGUAUGAAUCUACCUAGAUUGGAUGCAUAUAUAAGAUUUCUAGUAAAAAGUGAAGUUCAACUUCUAAUUGAAUUAGUAUAUGUACCAAGAUACUUGGAAGCUAAAGAAUAUCUUUGCUUGCAGGAUCGACGAGAGCCAACAGCGAUUAGGUGGGUCGGACCUUCCCGAAAUGGGUGAAUUUCCCCUAUGUCUCCUUUGAUAUUAUGAGUGAAUAUGUUAUACGCUUAUGUGAACCUAUGUGUAUUUGGAGGAAUUAAGACUCGCAUUCAUGUGUAUAUCAUAUUGGUUAUAAUAGCAUCUCUACGCAGUAGAGAAGGAAUUACGAAAUUGCCUAUUCCUCAUAGAUCAUCUAGCUUUACUGGACAAUAAGGGAAUUAUGUACUAGGGAGGAAAUCAUGCUAAUCUAUGUUCUAAACAUCGUGCUUGAACUUUUAGUCUAUUUUAUAUACUGAGGUUAUUCAUACAUUCAUAUAGAAUCAUACAAAUGUAUAUUGAAUAAUGUUUCACAUAUUUGUGCUAACCAGUAGGUUAUUGUUUCCAAGUGAUAACAUUAGCAUGAGUUUCAUGUCUGAAUAUGAUCUAGUUCAGCAAUCAGAACUGGAUCUUUUGAUAUAGCGUGAAUAUACAUUGUUGAAAAUAAGCUAGUGGAAUGACUAGCAUACUUAUGAGGAAUACUGGUACAAUCAAGCAGAAGUACUUAUAUGUUACUUAUUUACUUCAAGUAGCAGAGGCCUAUGUAGAACUCUAGAAUAUGUGUCAUGAGUGGUAUUACUUCUGAGUGAAUAGUUGAGUAUGAUUUUAGUAAAUCACUUUCCUUAUGUAUAGGGAGUAGUGAGAGAACUCUAUGUGAGUAUAUGUGAGUAUAGCCACUGUGAUGUAAAGAAUAUACUUGUUGAGUUAUACUAGCUAUUGGUCGAAUUAUGUCAGCAAAUAAUUGAGAGUGGCUUAGCGACAGAUUGCUCGCUCAUGUACGAAGUGAGCGCCAAAAUGGAUUGCCGGGGGUAGUGUUAACGUCCAUAAGGUCAUCAGAUGCAGCAUAUGCCAGACAGCCUUCGGGUGGGUCUUUAUACCAAACAGCCUUCGGGUGGGUCUUUAUACCAGACAGCCUUCGGGUGGGUUUUUAUACCAGACAGCCUUCGGGUGGGUCUUCAUGCCAGACAGCCUUCAGGUGGGUCUUUAUGCCAGACCACCUUCAGGUGGGUCUUCGUGCUAGAUAGCCUUCGGGUGGGUCUUAUAAGAUUUAAACAUCGAGUAAUUAAAUGACAAGUGAACCUAUUGAUGAACAAACUAGAAAGUUGACAUCUUGACGUUAGUGACAUAGUGACAAUGUGUUACACUUUUACUGGUGUAGGAAAUAAUUCCAUGAUAUCAUCAAUUAUUUCAGCAAUAAUGAAUUAUCUUACAUACCAUUAGGCAUAAGGCUAGUUAAAUUGUCAACUAGCAUGAAUGAUAGAACUUAUCAGGAUAAACGAGUACCUACAACCUGUGGAUUGGUGCAUUUAUAUAUUGAUUUGGAGUAAAUAGCAUGAUUGAUUUAUUUCAAUACUUGUUGCAUUUACUUGUUUAUUUACUACUGUUUACCUUUACCACAGUUGACCUAGUGGUGUACUUCGCCACUCCCGGCGGCUUACCCACUGGGAACUAUUGUUUAAUAGUUCUCACACCCUCUUUGUUGUUGUUUUUACAGAGCCUUCCACAGCGGGAAAGGCUAGGGUUCUUAGCGAGGGGUCAGCGACUAGCUAGAGCUUCCUCGAUGCUAGAUAGAUGGGACCACUUCAGCUUCUCUAGUCUAGUACUGUGUUUUAUAGUGAGAUUAUGUAAAUUAUAGUUGUUCUUACCUGUUGUAAUAAGAUGUUGAGUUGUAUAAGUUUUAACUUUUAAGUUUUGCUCUGAUUACCUGGUUAGAAGUGUAUGCUUUUACUAUAUGGUUUGUAGACGCCUUGUGUAUACUUGAGUGGUGGUGUACACGGCGGGUCUGUGCACGCGACUGGUGAGCUUCCGCUGAAAUCCAGGGCGUGACAAUAAGCCUUCCCAGUAGAUGAUCCCGUCGGGAGGCAGCUUAGGGCCCGAUACUUAGGGAUUGCGUUGGUGAGUUAUAGUUAACCAAAUGGUUAACCAGAUGGAUUGGGUAUUGAUUAUUAGUAGCAUGCAUGCAUCAAUUUCAGAUAUUAUCUACUGUUUCUUUCAACUUUCUACAGGCAUUGUAGUAGUUACAUGUUAUAGCUGAUUACUAUCUACUCUCUUUCUUGUCUACAUAUGCCUGAAUAGACCUAGUGGGUGAGUCGGCGAGGUCGGCAGCCGAACCCACUGGAAACUUUCAGUAGUUCUCACCCCACUAACCAUACAGGUUCUAGUUCGUGUGAGGUGGUCGAGGAUCUUGACAGGGACAGCGCGUUAUAGAUAGCGACAUCCAUUGAGUAUAGUUGUACCUUAUUUAUUUCAUCUGUUUAUAGUUGAUGAAAAUAAAUGUAUAUUAUUCAUUUGAGAGAUGGCAAUGUAUAUAUUGGAAGAAUGAGUGUAAUAAUUAUAUAAGCUUUGUAUUUGAUUUAAAGUAAUCAAGAUAUAAUGUAUGAAUGCUUUAGUUAGUUUACUUAUACUUGCUUGUGUUGCUUGCCCUCGUGCAAGCCAUGUAUAUUGAAAUUUUUUCUGGGCAUUUCUUUAUACAUGUUUGUUGUUGUUGUUGAGCCUUGGGCGAACAGAGGAGGUUCUGUUCGUUCGGCGUCUAUGUACGGGCCUGAACCGACCAAAUUGGCGGUCUCGGGACGUGACAGCACAUAUAUUAAAAUAGCACUGAGAUUCCACCAAAAACUAAAAUAUUUUGAGAACUAAUAGGUUGAAGACAUGUCAAAAAUAUUAAGAUGGUUGUAUUACAAAUCUACAAAAUAUAAAAGCAUGUAGACCUCAGAUAAUGAAGAUUACUGCGAGGGUUAUUAUAUUCAAUUGCUAGAUACCAUUUUACUAAAUGCUAUUUUGCUCCACAAGGAAAUCCAAAGCAGGAUAAAGCUAGGGGGCAAUCCACAAUUGAUCUUUGACUUCUAUACUACAAGAAAAUUUUAUAAUUCACCAUAAAAUCUAUUACAAAAAAAAAUAAUCAACAGUCAGACUGUCACGCCCCGGGACACAGCGGAAGCCCGCCCGUCACGUGUCCAGACCCGCCAUACGUCUAAAACAUAUAAGGUGUCUAAUAGAAAACGAUAAAGAGAGCAGUAGAAGAGAGGCAUCUAGAAGCAUCAGAGCAAGUACAACUAGAUUCUAUAAUAAGAGAGUAAACAAGAAACUAAAAUCCAUUAAGUAAAGAACCAAAAAGUAGAACGACUAAAAUCCCAAGUACACGGACUAAGAAUAAUACAAUUGUAGUCUCUAUACAUGGUAACAAAACUCUUUCUCACCAAAAAUACAAAAAGAGAGUAGACCCGCCUAGGAGCAAAAGCAAGCUCCGCGCUAACUAGCUAUGCGACUCCCUUGUCGCGAUCCCGUGCCUCCGCCGGUGCUGAAGGCUUUGAAAUAAAACCAUAAAACAGGGGGCGUGAGAACUAUUAAAUAAUAGUUCCCAGUGGGCAAUUACUGACUUCAGUGAAAAGCGCCACUAGGCCCAAACUAAGCAAGUAAGUAGCAACGAAUAAUAAUGAAAUAAACAGCAAGUAAUAAACAUGAAUGCUUGCUAUAACAUGACAUCUCUACUUAGCAUGAUUUUUCACAAGUAAGAAGGCUAUGCUAAUAUGAAUAAGCAUGAGUAUGCAACCAACAUAAUGUCCACAAUGAAAAUAGUAAUAUUUCAUUGUUUACUAUUCUAGUUCAUGUCCACUUGGUAUAUUAACUACUUAUAGUUGCAAUCUUGUAAGACCCACCCGUAGGCUGUCUGGCCUGCGCCGUGCCUAAUGGCCCUGUGGUAGUCAACAUCCCCACUCUAGGGAUGAGCCUCCCCCACGGUAAUCCACUUCGGCGCCCAAUUCCGCACAGGCGAGCAUAUGUCGCGAUGGCUAUCUCCGGAGUGCCGGCUUAUGGGGAGCGACCCUCACAAGCAUGUACGAAUGAGCACAAGGGCAAGCAAGCGUAAAAUCUGUCUCAAGUCUCAAGUCAUCAUGUCUAAAAUAUGGAAUAUAACCUAUGUUUCAAUGGCCUAUCACUAUGUCAUCGUGUCUAAAACACGGAAUAUAGUCGAUGUCACAAUGGCCUAUCUCUAUGUCUCUAUGUUGCAGUUUCACAGUUUACUAGUUAAAGUGCCCCUUUAUGGCACUUUUGUUCACUUUGUCCAAACAUGAGUUAGGAGUUCAAGAGUACCCAAUUUAGGUUCUAUUCAUCAUAGGAGACAUAAUUCCAACUUGCAAUAUAGAAUACUUUUCACAUGCAUGCCUAAUACACAUAUAGCUCUACUAUAUAGAGUUGAAUUUUCGCGUUACAUAACACAUGCAUUUUAAGUAUUCUAAAAUUCAUAAAAAUCCUAUCUAGCAUGAAUAUGCAUCCAUCUCGAUGAAACGACAAGGGUAGAACACAUAGGGGAUAUUUCUCCCCUAUUUCAUGAAGUCAAACCCACCGAAACUUCUCGAAACCCUUUGUUUGCUCUGACGAAGGUGUCCACUACUCUCCUAGUACCCUAAGGUAUCGUUUGGUUCGGGGAUAACCAAAAAAUGAUUAUUCCAGGGAUAGGUAUAAAUUGAGGUAUAAGCGGGGAUUAGAUCAAUUUUGCGUUUGAAUGAAAAUUAGGUUAUUCCUAGGAAUAAAAAAAAAAUAGCGUUUGGUUAGGUAAGACGGAAUAAGAAAGAUAGUAGAUUUUUAUAAAUAAAAAAUAAUAAUAUUACCAUCUUAUUAUAUUUGAAUUGGAAUUUUUAAAUUUUUAAAUUUAAAAUUUUAACUUUGAAAUUUCAAAAUUUGAAAUUUAAAAUCUCAAAUUUUAAAUUCAAAAUUUUAAAUUUUAAAUUUCAAACUUUAAAUUUAAGAUCAAAUUUAAAUUUAAAUUUAAAAUUUAGAAUUCUAAUUAUAAACUUUAAUUUUGAGAUUACAAAUUAUAGAUUUUAAAAUUUUUAUUAUUUUAAAUUUAAAAUUUGUUAAAUAAGAUAGGGGUGGAAACAAUUAAUAAAAUAAUUUUUGAUAUAAAAUUUAUAAAUUUUUUUACAAAUUCCGGCUGUAAACUUAAUUAAUAAAAAAUUUAUUAUAUAUUUAAUAAAAUUUUUAUAAAUUAUUAUUAAUAUUAUGUAAUAAAAAUAAUAUUUUAAUAAUUAACAUGAUAUAAUUAUAUAUUAUAUUUAUAUAAUUUAGUUUAAUUCAAUUUAUAAUUUUAAUUAAGUUUGAAAUUAAGCAUUGGAAUAGCGCUAUUCCACCAAAGUGGUGGAAUAGCAAAUCCCCUGCUAUUCCAGGAUAACCGGGAAUAGUAAGGUUUGACCGGAAUAUUUUAUCCCAGCAAUAAAUCUUCCCGUUUGGCAGAAUAGCGGGGAUAACGAAAGUUAUCCUCGCUUAUCCCCUGAACCAAACAGGGUCUAAAGGUCACAAAAGGAGGGAUACACGAACGUUACGAACAAUCAUAUAAUCAAACAUUAAACAACCCAAGCUAAGGUGAAGAAAACUCACCGGAUGCGAAGAAAGUUCUCUCGAUCUCCAAAAGGGAGUUAGAGGCCUUCUAAUCCAACCUAAACGAAGGUUCUAAUCCAAUCAACAAAGCUCAAAAAGCCUCAACUCAAAAAUCCCCAUUUUAAACCCUAAACUCUCAUAUCUAGGGUUCCAACAUCAAAAACCCUCCUAAACAUGAAUCAAAGGGUAGGUUAAACUUACUAACCUCUCCAAAGCACCAACUCAAGCUAGCAAGUGAGCUAGGGUUGAAGAUCAAACCUCAAACAAGCUCCAAUCCCAAAAUCCAAGCUUCACCCAUGGAGGAAACCAACAAAAAGCAAGGAAAAGCAAGAGAGAGGAGAUCAAAACAUGCAAUAAUCCAUCAAAAAUGAAAAUCAAACAAGGGGGAAAGGGCUCACCUUGUUUCUCCUCAGGUUUGAGUUCAAAAGAGCUCCAAAGGGGGCUGGGGUGAGUUAUAUAGGUGUUGCAAUAAAUGCAAAAACACCCCUCACAAAAAAUAGCGCACAGAGUAAAGUGUACCGGUACACGGGAAGGUGUACCGGUACAAAUCCCGCGUAUGCGCGAACCCGAGGCUCGGGUUGGCAAUACACCACAUCUGUACCGGUACAACCAUCAAGGUGUACUGGUACACUUUUUGUACCGGUACAACCAGCUACUUAUCACCGGUAACACAGUGUACAGAGUGUAAUCCGAGGGCAGUCUAAGUCCUCCUCCUUGGUGGCCUUAGCGCUACUUAAAAUACCAUAAAUCUCGGGAUACGAGCCAUAGGUCGGAACACUGUCAACGACCCUCCAGAAUAUCUGGAAAAACUCAGAACACUCAUCAAACACUCGAAUCUCGCAAUUUGCAAAGGUCCAGUGUGUUAGAUAGACGUGGACAUGAGGAAGAGCAAUAAAAACUUGAGAAUCAAGAUAAUACCAUUCCCUUCGGUUCUAAGGUUGUCUUAACUAAAUCAGCAAUUGCCAUUGCACCAAUAAAAGAUGCCUGUACCGGGAAGAAAGUGGCAAAAGCAACUGUAAGUAAAAAUUUUGACUUAGGAAUAACAGGAAAAGGAAAUUAAAAUCUUACAAAAAUCAGGAAUCCAGAAAUUAGCUCAAGAUAAUUUCUUCCAGGAAAUAUAUUUACUGAUUUGGAAAAAACAGCAUAUCAUCCAUACUAUUUGAGCUUGGGGAAAUUGCAUAGCACACUGAUAUCUUGGUCUUGGAACUGAAGUUGGUAAAAGGUAAAACAAUGCAAUAGAAGAAACUAGCUUGAACUAAACUUUUAAUAAGUCAUACAAACCUGAAUUCUCAGCUUAUGGAGGGUUACACUUGAGCCCCACUAAUGUCCCAUCAUACAAAAGGACAACACCUUCGAAUUACACCAAUCAAGCAGGGUCAAUUACAGCUGGUCAAUUCAAGUCCGACUCCCAAUUGGUUCGCACCACGCCUAACUAUCCAUCAUGAUCAUAAUCCUAAUUGAGAAAAGCCCAACCUGUGGGACGUUAAUAUAGUAAUCAAUUUAUAUAACUCUAGAAGGAAAGCUUAAGAAUAUUGUGUUAGAUAUGCAUACAUGUAUGACAUAAUUUUAUAAAUUUUUAAUUUUAUUCUGUGAUAAGGUUGUAUAAAAGAAAAAAAAUUACAAAAUUAUAUUCAACUGAUUUGUAUUUUCUAAAAACAAAUUUCUACCAUAGGCAAAAUUAUAAUCAGAUUAGAUGACUAUAAGAUAACUACUCUGCUAUAUGAUACCAUAUAUGAUAACCGAUGUUUAUAUAUCGCAAGCACAUGAAGACUAUAUAGGACAAAUAUGAUAAUCUAUUAGGUAUAUUAAAGAUGAAUAGUAAUAUAUUAAAAUUUUUAAAUGUAAUAUAUGUAACUUCUGUAAGUUAUUUUUGCAUUGAUUGUUGUCAAUAUCAUUUGUAGUAUCUCUUUGUUCUGUUCUCUACUACAGUGAAAAACAACAAAGGUUUUACAUUCAAGUUGACACCCUGUUAUGGGAGUAUAGCUAAGAAAAAGCUACCAUUAAUGAUCAAGAAGUAAUAACUGCAUAAAGUUUGUCAAUAAAUGUCUAGCUAGAGUUUGUCAAUAAUCAGCAGUAGGCCGGUCUUUAGGAUCAAAGGCAAGUAUGCGCUCAAGUAAUCGCAGAGCCAAAGGAUCUAUACCAGGAAACUCCUGUGAAAAAGGAAUUGCUGGUUUUUUUCUCAUGUUACUCAAGUAUCUUCUAGCUUUCUUAUUUCGAAUCUGUGGCACAAUAAGAAAUGUUAACAAAUGCACAAAUCGACCAAAAUUUUAAAUCAGAGAUGAACUGCAAGAUGAAGAUACUUAAACUAAUACUUAAUCUUCAAACAAUAAUGCGACUAACCAGAGCUUAAGCUCAGUUACAAAUAAGGGAAACUUUAAUGUGCAAGUGGGUAAAGUAUCAUAUCUGUAAUACAUAAUGUACAGAACUUUCAUUUGUUUAUAAAAGUUGACUUACAUAGACAUGUUACCGGGUAAAGCAUACAUAUAAACUAAAAAGUAGAAUGGUUCUUGAAAUUUAUAAUGAACUGAUAUAUUAGAAUAGGACUGUUGUUCGCAGUUACGUCAGAAAGAAAGAGGAAGGAAACAAACAAGAGAAAUGGAUUCUAGUGGAGGAGUUCCAAGUAGAUCAGUCAUGAGGUCCAACUGAUGAACCACAUUCUUGCCAGGAAACAAUGGUUUCCCUUCAACAUCUCUGCAAAUAUGCAUCCUAUACUCCAAAUGUCAAUUGCAGGAGUGUACUGCAAAAGUUAAAUAUCUCAGUUCAGAUCAAAUAGAGGACCAUAGGUUAUCAGGAUCAGUUUUCACAGUGAAACUGGUUUAAGGACGACUUUCCCUUUUUAAUGAGUUGUUGUAACUCACGAAAUAGAUUUAGUUGGCCUGGUUCUUCUUUGUAGUAGCAGCAAAUUACUAUAUAACUGUUAUAGAUUGUGGACAAACUAUUAUACUAAAAAUUUAUUUGAGCAUACUUUAAUUUUUUAAUAUUUAACUAUUACUUUUGUUGAUAUCUUACUAUUUGUAAAAUUUUACUACAAUGCUCUCUAUUGUGAAUAAUUGUAUGUAUUAUUAUAUUCUAUAUCUCUAAUUAGGAUUUACUAACAAAUUACCUAAAUAUUUUAUUUACUUAUGUUGAUAUUUUAUUAUUUAUAAAUUUUUUAUUUUAGCAGCAACUACCCGCCGCAUCGCGCGGGUACCUACACUAGUUAUUGUUAUAAUUAAGGGGGAAGGUUAACUAUAUAACCUUCGAUUACUAUGUGCUAAUUUAUGUCAUGUGGUGUCAUAUAAAUUGAGGUAUCAGAAUAUACUAGUGUAAUUAUCCGCACGAUGCAGCAGACAGAUAUUAUCGAAGCAAUUUUUUUAUCAUUAUUGAUCAUCGAUGCUAGUCUAAAAUUGUACAUAUAUAAAAGAAAAUACAGUGAGGAGAUGAAGAAAGAAAAAAAGAGAGAAAGAAAGAGAGGCGUAAAAUGAAGGAAUGACAAAAUAAUUUAAAUAAAAUUAUUAGCCAAAUUAAUAAUUCAAUUAAUUUAAAUAAAAAUAAUUUAAAUAAAAUUAGCUCAAGUUGCUAUAAAAUUUUCAUAUAUAAACUUUAAUAUGAUUUAAAUUGUAUUUGUUGAAUUAGAUUUUAAUCGUAUAAUAGUAAAUUUUUUAAAAUUAUUCAGUGUAUAUAUAAAAUUGUAAAUUGGGGUAAGCAAUUAUUUAUAACAUAUAUGCAAAUCCUUUAAAAGAACAUCUAAUUAUUGAAACAAAUCCUAUAAAAAAAUAUGUUUUCUAUCAGCUUAUUGUUUAACAAUUUUACAUACAUCUAAAUAACUAUAAAAGAAAUUGGAAAAAGCUAAUAGAUAGGAUAGUUAAAAAAAAAAACAUUAAAAAAAAAGAAAACUAUAAAAAAUUUCUGAUCACUUGAUUAUCACCAUAUAUACUAUCAGUAAUAAGUUGAUUAUAUAUCCAUACACUCUCUUCCGCUUCUAUCGUCGCUGCCGCCACCGCCGCAUUCAAGAUCUUCAUCUUCUACCACCACUGCCAUCCCACCAAAUACACGACGGGAUCUGCGAAUUCUAUGGACUCGACGCAAUGCGACAGUGAUGAAAGGGAGCGACUUUUACGGGAGAGGGAGAGGGUGAAAGAGGUUUAGCAAAAGUUGAAGAACGAAGAGAUUAAUGAAAACAAAGGGAGAAGAAAAAAUUAAUUAUUAAUUAAUUACAAUAAUAAAGAGAGAGAAGAAAAAAUUAAUUAUUAAUUAAUUACAAUAAUAAAGAGAGAGAAGGUGGGGUUAUUGGAAGGUAAAGAGGCGGACGUUAAAGAAGAGUAGAAGGUGAGGAGGUCUACGAUGAAGAAGAUGAGAAAAGAAUAAUUAAAAAAUAAAAUAAAAUAAUUUUAAAAAUAUAAAAAAAUGAGAGCUUGCCACGUCAUCAUUUGAUAUUGGGGAUUCAUAUAAGAGGAUAGAUAUGAAACCCCAUUUGGGAUCUAGGUGGCAGCGAGGGGCUAAGGAUGUCAACGGAUUGGGUUUUCAAAAAUCCGAACUCGAACCCGAAAAACAAAUUGAAACUCAAACUUAGACUUGAACCCAGCGGAUUUUAAAAAUCUAUACCCAUAUCCGACCUCGAGCAAAAACCCAAAAUCCGAACCUGAAAUAAUAAUUUCUCUUUAUCAUAUUUCAAAAUAUAUUAAAGUAAAAUUAAAAUUUUCAAAACACAAUCAAAUGCAACAUUAAACAUUCAAGACAUACAAUAUCAAUAUCUGAAUAAAAAAAGUACAAAUUCAAAUGGUUAAAAAUUACAAUACAUAUAUCGUAUAAAUAAAUUUUAUAUAUAUAUAUAUGUCUACCAAUUUAGAUUGCCACCUUUUGAGCUAUUGUGGUUUAGGAACCAUGAUAGCUAUCAUAGGGUUGGCCUGAGAUAUAUAUCUUGAUCCGAUCUUAUGAUAGUUAUCGUGGUUCGAUAACCACGAUAACUAAAAAAUCGGAAACCUAACUCUUUACACGCCAAUCCUACUACACCCCGGGGAGCCCAACUCAUUCACCAACCAAAUUAUCAUAUUAGAUUGCCUAUUUUUAUUAGUUUCCCAAUUUAGAUUGCCACCUUUUGAGCUAUCGUGGUUUAGGAAUCACGAUAUCUAUCAUGCGUCAGCCUGAGAGAGAGAGAGAGAGAGAGAGAGAGAGAGAGAUAUAUAUAUAUAUAUAUAUAUAUAUAUAUAUAUAUAUAUAUNUCAACCUAAUGAACCCAAACGAAGAUCGUAUCACAACCUGUGUACUCAUACGUAUAUAUGUACAUCAUACGAUCCUCUACAACGGUAAUGUAAGUAUAUAUAUUACAGCGGUACAAUUUCAUAUUGGUAGUAUCGAUGUAUUCCCUUUAGAACUUUCAUGAGCGCUUAUACAUCUCUGUGUGAUCAGUACUGUUCCAUUUUCACGUAGAAUAUUUACGGUCUAGGUUAACGUUCAAUAUUAAAUCGUUAAAAUAAAUACGAAAGUGUAAACGUUAAAUAAAUAACAAAAAUGAUAGAACCUGAAUGGGGAAAGAGAAAAACUACUCUCUAUCUAGUAGUGAUUGUCACACACUCAACACUGUGUCGGUUUCCAUUUCCAAUUAGGGACCUACCCAAGGUAGUCCAGCUUGUGCCGCCUAAGUGCCUGUGGUAGCCCGACAUCCCUACUCUUGGAAUGUGUCUGUCCCACUCGACCCCGUAGGCUUCUCAAUACCGAACGAGCGAACACAAGUCGCGUAGACUAACUCCGGAGUGCCGACUUGUAGGGAGCGACCCUCACAAGCAUGUGCGAAUGAGCACAAAUGGCAAGAAAGCAUAGUCCAAGUCUCAAGUACCCAAUCCUCAUGUCUCUAACAUGGUAUAGUCACUAGCGUCCCGAAGAUCUAGUUUAAGUCACAACAUGAAGUUCCAAUACUACUAGUCUUGUGCCCCUUUAUGACACAUAGACAUUUUAAUGAACAAGUAUUUCCAACUCUCUCAAUGGCACUAUCCAAUAGGUUCACACAUGACCCGAGCUCGAUGCCCCUUCAUGACAUUAGCCCAAUUAUUAACAAUUAGCACAAGUCCCCGAGCCUCUUUAUGGCUUACCAAGAACCUUCAAGUUCAGUAUAGGAAUAACUUUAAAUGCAUGCAAAAGAUGCUCAUUUUCACAAUAGGAUUUAUGAUUCCAAAUCUCAAUAGGAUGCCAAACAUAUGCGAGUACCACAUGCUAGUUCUUUACUAUAUGGAGGUCCGAACUUUCAUUACACAUAACGUAGGCAUAUUAAGCAUCCUAAAAUUCACAAUAAAUAUAUCUAACAUGAUUAUGCAUGCCUUUUCAAUUAACGAUACUUAAUUCAUCACAAAUGAGAAUUUCUCAUUGUGUUGCUAGGUCAAACCUACCGAACCGUCGCGUGCUCCUUCGAUUCGCUGAACGGAGUUGUCCACGAGUCUCAAAAUACCCUAAAAGUAUCGAGCGAAGAGAUACACGGGCAUUACGAUCAAUCUAUAAGGUCAAACUUUAACAAACUUGGCAAAAGGGCUAAAACUCACCUAAUGUGUAGGAAAUCUCUCUCAAGCUCCAAAAGAGAGCUAAAUCCCUUCCAAUUNUUUUAAAAUCUAACGUAUAGAAUGAUUGGAUAGUAAAUUUUGAAAGGUUGAAUAGAUAAUUCAAAAUGAUUCAUAGUUCAAAAAAAUUCUAUACGAUUUUAUUUUGAUUUUAAUAUCAAACUUUAGUAUUAUAAUUAUAAGCUGAUUAGCGAUCAAUUUUACAUCUAUAAUUUUUGUAAUAUCUAAAAUAUGAUUGGUCGACUUUAAUUUUAACAAUUAGACAUUAUAAAAUUUAUUAGAUAAUUUAACAUUGUCACGCCUCGGGGUCUUUUUGUAGUCUAAAAACACAGCGAAAUUCUUUUUUUUUGAAAACCUGACCCCCGGGGUAUGCCAAAUCCACCACAAAUAUAGGGAGUCCACUGUUCACACGGACAGAGUCUCCCCUGUAUUUGCACAGCGCCGCACAAGUACAAGAUACAAACAGAAUACAACCACAACUGAACAUAAAGACAUUCAUAUUCAUACACCAUUUACCACAGAAUUACAUUCCGGGUUUAUUCAGAAAUCCAUAACUAUUAGUUUAAAUGUUUCUUACUCGAAAACUCAUUUUGAAAUACUAGUUUAUGAAAACCACAAGAAUAUCUUUUUCAAAUCUGUUUUCUACACGGAAACCCUUUUUCUUUUAAAUACUACCACGAGGGGUAGAAAAUUAUUUUUCAAUUCACAAAAUCCACAAUUCCUUUUAUUACUUUCAUGAAACCAUGUGAAUUCAUAAGUAAUAACAACUGAACCAAAUAACUGUCUAAGUCAUAUAUCAAUAGAAGUAAAGGGGUAGUAACUAAACCAAACCAACCGGGUCGGAAGCUCUAUCGACCGUUACGAACAUGUCUCACGUCUCGUCUCAACCCUCACCGCUCGCAAUACCUGAAAAAUGGUGGGGGAGGUGAGAACAUGUAAACAUGUCUCCCCUCCCAGUGGGUACCGCAAGCCGAAGAAGGCGAGGAGUACUCACCGGAUCAGGAAGAACUAUACAACAAAACGAGUCAGUGGGGAUACAGUAGGAACAAUAGUAAACGAAAGAUAUGUACAAGGUAAUGAACAGAUAUACUAAGUACAGUAGCAACUAUAAUACAUGAACAGGAUGUAUAGGAACAACUACCGCUACUAUAAAGAAGAACUGAAUGCAUAUAUGGGUAUCGAAACUAUAGUAGUAAGACAAGUAUAUGGAAAGAACUGUAAAUGUAAGGAAGUGAAUUCUCAAAAUUCGAGAGUUGUACUUUGUCCAGGAUCGACUAUUUGUCAAGUGAAUACCCUUCGGGAAAGCUAAAGAUGUCCAAAACACAAAAAGUGCUUUGGAGUCGAGUCCGCGAGAGCAAAUAUGGAAAAAUCUGGACUUAGCAAAUUUUUUUUACUCUCGGGGACCGAUCCCUGGAAGGGAGGACUGGUCCUUGUAGCUGAUGGUUGCGGGGGAGGUCGAUGCAACCGGUCCCCGGCUGAGGGAACCGGUCUCUGUGUGCGACACCAGCGAGAGAAGGGAAAAAAUGGCUAAGUCCUGAAAAUUCAGCUCUCGGGAACCGGUCUCUCAGGAAGGACCGAUCUCCCAGGGAUCGGUCAUUCGGGCGGGGACCAGUUCCUGUACGCGAAAGGUCCCCAGGCCACGGGGAGGGCUCUCGGGGACCGGUCUCCCCGACGAAGGACCGGUCCCUCUAGGCAAAAACUGCCCAGUGAGGGCUGUGUACAGGAUGAAAAGUGGAGGGGCUAAAAUGGAUUUUGUUACAUUAGAUGGGCUUAUGGGCCCUCUCUCUCUCCCUCAGCCUCUCAUUUUUCUCCCUCUCUUACACUCUCUUGCUCUCUCUCUCUCUCUAGAAAGAAAAGGGAAGAAGAACAAGAAGGAGAAGGAGAAAAGAGAAGAAGAAGGAGGAGAUCAAGCUCAAGGAGGCUUGGAGCAUCUCCCUCUUCCUCUCCUCACCAUUGGAGUAGCUCAAGAGGUAAGCUCUUGAACCCUAGCUUAUGGAACUUAGGGUUUGUCACGCCCCGGGACCGGCAGUGGCCCUCCCGGUAGCAUGCCCAGACCCGCCAUAUGUCAACGCAUAUAAGGCGUCUACAAUAAAAACGGAAGUAAAAGCAAGAGAUAGAACAAAUAGGAUAAAUAGCAACUAAUGAUAUCAGAGCGAGUAAAGUUCUAUCAUCUACACCAAAGUAAAGAAAUAAAGCUAGACAAUAAAAGUAGCCAUAAAGUAGUACAGUACUAUCUCUUCAAAAGGAAUACAAAGAUCCAAAAGAAGGGUGGUCUCNCUCGGGGACCGGUCUCGCCCGCCAGGGACCGGUUGCCUCAGGGCUGCCGCCGCAACACUGUUCACUAGGGGACCGGUCUCUCCUUCCAGGGACCGGUCCCCGAGAGUAAAAACUCUCAGGACUUGUCCAGAAUUCUAGUUUUCGAACUUUUUAGGUCGGAAAACAUUCCCCAACCCUCCACCAAGUGUGGAAAAGCUCGAAAUACAUCCAAACACUCGAACCUCGCAAUUUGCAAAGGUCCCGUGUGUUAUAGGGUUUUAGGUUUUGAGUUUUGGAAAUGAGGACAAAUGGACCUCUAGCACCCUUGUUGGUGGAUUAGAGCUAGAGUUAGGGUUCCAAAGUGCAAAUAGCAAGAUGUGAACCCUAGGGCUCCAAAUGGGGUUUUUGGUAAAGUAUGAAAUUGAUCUCAUUUGAGGCCUUGUAAACCUAAUUGCUAGGUGUCUAAACGCGGGGGCGAAGUCGGAAUUUCAAUUCGUCGAGCGGGAGAAAAGUUAUCGGCAAAAUAAGGCCGAUUGAGCACCGUUUUGUACCAAGGAGGCCGAGACGUCGUCGUAACGUUCGGCGAGAGGCAUUUCUAGAACCUCUACGACUAUAAAAGGUGGGGGGUGUCAUCCGGAAGCAACCGAGCCCUUUUCUAUGUCUUAGAAUAAUAUAAUUUUCAUCUGUUGCAUGUUGCAUUGUAGGAUUGCAUUGUAGUACCUUUUCUUAUGCUUUCUAAAUGUUAACCUAGUGUACUUGGAACGCUUGGUGAAAUGGAUAGGUGAGGAUUGGGUCGGAACAUGGAUCCUAUAGUGCUAAAGAAAAGAGAUGGACUCGAUGAUUAUUUAGUGACAUAGAGAGUGGCAUCUAAUGUUUAAUGAACAAAACGAGUGGUAUUAAUGUAGUGUAUUAGACACUAGAAGUCUAUGGACUUAGGGAUAGGUAGAAUCCCUUAGAAAAUGCCUUGUGAACAAUGAAUUUAGUAAAACUAAGUGUUUUGCAGGAUUAUCGGAGUUUUAAAGAGUUGAAGCAGAGAUUGACUUCGACUCUGGUGCUCGCUCUACCGGUGCAGAGCGAAGAUUUCGUGGUCUACAGCGACACUUCCUAUCUAGGAUUGGGGUGUCUCCUGAUGCAGGGCGGGAAAGUGAUCGCUUAUGCGUCCCGUCAGCUGAAGAGCUAUGAGAAAAACUACCUCAUUCAUGAUUUGGAGCUAGCAGCGGUAAUCUUCGCCUUGAAGCUGUGGCGGCACUACUUGUAUGGUGCCCAUUGCAAGAUCUACACCAACCACAAGAGCCUGAAAUAUCUGUUCAUACAGAAAGAUCUCAACAUGCGACAACGGCGAUGGUUGGAACUUCUAAAAUAUUAUGAUGUGGAUAUCCUUUACUACCUGGGGAAAGCGAAUGUGGUCGCGGAUGCACUGAGCAGGAAAUCAACGGAAAACCUCGCUAUAUGGGUUAUGAAUCAAACACCCCUAUGGCUGGACAUGGAGCGAAUGGACCUUGAGGUGGUUGCUCCGGAGAUUCCGACCCAGUUGAUGGCGCUUGUUGUCCAAUCGACCUUCUUGGAGAGGAUCAAAUAUCUGCAAUCUGCGGACCCAGAACUCCAAAAGAUGCAGCGAAACAUCGAGGAAGGUCGAGGCGGCGAUUUCAAUAUAGACGCCGGUGGUACACUUCGGUUUCGAAACUAAUGGUGUGUGCCAAAAAAUGGAGAGCUUCGCGAGCUAAUUCUACAAGAAGCACAUCGGUCUCCAUAUGCCGAUCACCCGGGCGGCACCAAAAUGUACCAAGGGUUAAAAAUGUACUAUUGGUGGCCGGGAAUGAAAAGUGAUGUUGGACGCUUCGUGACGAAGUGCUUAGUAUGCCAACAAGUAAAGGCCGAGCGUCGGUUUCCGGCGGGAAAGCUUCAAAGCCUACUAAUCCCCGUUUGGAAAUGGGAGGAUCUAUCGAUGGACUUCGUGGUCGGCUUGCCUCGCUCAACUGGCGGCCAUGAUGCGAUUUGGGUGAUUGUGGAUCGAUUAACGAAGUCGGCUCACUUUUUGCCGAUCCACACCACGUGUGCAGGUGACAAGUUAGCGCAGGUAUACCUCGACGAGAUAAUGAGACUGCAUGGGGUGCCGAAAUCGAUCGUGUCGGAUCGCGACCCCUGGUUCACUUCACACUUCUGGAAAAGCCUGCAGGAAGCCCUUGGCACACGGCUCGACUUUAGCACCACAUUUCAUCCUCAGACCGUUGGGCAAAUAGAGAGAACCAUUCAAACUCUAGAGGAUAUAUUGCGAGCGUGUGUCAUCGACUAUAAAGGGAGUUGGUGUGAUCACCUACCGAUGGUCGAGUUCGCCUACAACAAUAGUUAUCACGCUAGUGUAGAGAUGGCACCGUUCGAGGCUCUUUAUGGGCGGACGUGUCGGUCUCCUAUACACUGGAGCGAUGUGGGUGAGCGUACAGAGUUCGGCCUGGAUGUUUUCCGAGAAGCGGAGGAGAAAGUUCGUCUUGCUCGCAAGAGAUUGCUCACGGCGCAGUCGAGACAGAAAAGCUAUGCAGAUAGACGCCGUCGAGAUAUAGAGUUCGCGGUCGGCGACCGCGUAUUUUUGAAGGUUUCACCGAUGCGGGGUGUGAAGCGGUUUAUAGUACGGGGAAAGUUGAGUCUCCGAUACAUUGGACCCUAUGAGAUAUUAGAGCGGGUUGGCACGGUGGGGUAUCAACUCGCCUUGCUGCCAAAACUCGCGGAUGUACACAACGUGUUCUAUGUCUCCAAUCUACGCAAGUAUAUUCACGACCUCGAGCACGCGAUGCUAUAUGAGCCACCGGAGCUUCAAGAGGACUUGAGCUAUAAAGAAUUUCCGGUGGGGGUUAUCACCCGAGAAGUGCGAAAGUUAAGAAAUCGAGUAAUCCCCUAUGUUAAAGUUCGGUGGAGCAAUCACGAUGAUCACGAAGCCAGCUGGGAGCUCGAGGAUUUGAUGAGAAAGCACGACCCUCAUCUAUUUGAGGAAUGAGGUAAAGGUUAAAUUAAAUUAGAAAAUUGAGUUAGUUUCGAGGACGAAACUCCUUGUAAGGAGGGGAGGAUGUAAGAAAGUGAAUUCUCAAAAUCUGAGAGUUGUACUUCGUCCAAGAUCGACUAUUUGUCGAGUGAAUACCCUUCGGGAAAGCUAAAGAUGUCCAAGACACAAAAAGUGCUUUGGAGUCGAGUCCGCGAGAGCAAAUAUGCAAAAAUCUGGAUUUAGCAGAUUUUUUUUGCUCUCGGGGACUGGUCCCUUGAAGGGAGGACCGGUCCCCGUAGCUGAUGGUUGCGGGGGAGGUCGAUGCAACCGGUCCCCGGCUGAGGGAACCGGUCCCCAUGUGCGACACUAGCGAGAGAAGGGCAAAAAUGGCUAAGUCCUGAAAAUUCAGCUCUCGGGAACUGGUCUCUCAGGAAGGACCGGUCUCCCAGGGACCAGUCCAUCGGGCGGGGACUGGUUCCCGUACGCGAAAGGUCCCCAGGCCGCGGGGAGGGCUCUCGGGGACCGGUCUCCCCUACGAGGGACCGGUCCCUCUGGGCGAAAACUGCCCAGUGAGGGCUGUGUACAGGAUGAAAAGUGGAGGGGCUAAAAUGGAUUUUGUUACAUUAGAUGGGCUUAUAGGCCCUCUCUCUCUCCCUCAGCCUCUUAUUUUUCUCCCUCUCUUACACUCUCUUGCUCUAUCUCUCUCUCUAGGAAGAAAAAGGAAGAAGAACAAGAAAGAGAAGGAGAAAAGAGAAGAAGAAGAAGGAGGAGAUCAAGCUCAAGGAGGCUUGGAGCAUCUCCCUCUUCCUCUCCUCACCAUUGGAGUAGCUCAAAAGGUAAGCAUUUGUACCCUAACUUAUGGAACUUAGGGUUUUAGGUUUUGAGCUUUGGAAAUAAGGUCAAAUGGACCUCUAGCACCCUUGUUGGUGGAUUAGAGCUAGAGCUAGAGUUCCAAAGUGCAAAUAGCAAGAUGUGAACCCUAGGGCUCCAAAUAGGGUUUUUGGUAAAGUAUGAGAUUGAUCUCAUUUGAGGCCUUGUAAAUCUAAUUGCUAGGUGUCUAAACGCGGGGGCGAAGUCGGAAUUUCGAUUCGUCGAGCGGGAGAAAAGCUAUCGGCAAAAUAAGGCCGAUUGAGCACCGUUUUGUACCAAGGAGGCCGAGACCUCGUCGUAACGUUUGGCGAGAGGCAUUUCUAGAACCUCUACGACUAUAAAAGGUGGGGGGUGUCAUCCCGAAGCAACCGAGCCCUUUUCUAUGUCUUAGAAUAAUAUAAUUUUCAUCUGUUGCAUGUUGCAUUGUAGGAUUGCAUUGUAGUACCUUUCCUUAUGCUUUCUAAAUGUUAACCUAGUGUACUUGGAACGCUUGGUGAAAUGGAAAGAUGAGGAUUGGGUCGGAACAUGGAUCCUAUAGUGCUAAAGAAAAGAGAUGGACUCGAUGAUUAUUUAGUGACAUAGAGAGUGGCAUCUAAUGUUUAAUGAACAAAACGAGUGGCAUUAAUGUAGUGUAUUUGACACUAGAAGUCUAUGGACUUAGGGAUAGGUAGAAUCCCUUAGAAAAUGCCUUGUGAACAAUGAAUUUAAUAAAACUAAGUGUUUUGCAGGAUUAUCGGAAUAAAUGAGUUCCGAGAAGUGUUGGCCCUAGUUCGUUGGGUAUCCUCAUGUGGAGAGGAUAGAUCAACUCACGGUCUAUUAUUAGGGAUGGUAAAGCCAUCCAUAUCCUCACAUGGAGAGGAUUGGUCGUUGAGUACUCCGGAGUGUCGGGCGAUAGGGACCACAUGGAGGUCCACAGACAAUCCCGAGUCUGAGAGCACAUGGAGCUCCUUACCCAGAGGGAUAUAGAUGUGAGAUGUAGGCAAACCCCAGGGUUUUGCCACAGAUUGGGUAAAUGAAAAGUUAAUGCUAAUAUUGAACAUUAUUCAUCGAACAUGGAUCGAUCUUGUUAGCAUGAUAGUAAACUUGUACUAUAUGAUGCAUGCAUUCAUAUGCAUGAUUAUGGGCAUAGUAGUAUAGUUUUCCUUCAUGCCUUUACAGUUUUGAUAUAUAGAUAUAUCUAUCUCAUUGUUACUUGUGCCCACUUGGACCUAGUGGAGAAAUCGGCGGAGUCGGCGACCGAGCCCACUAGGAACUAUGGAAGAUAGUUCUCACCCCACUCUAUUUCCAGUGGUAGGUACAGGGUUGCCGAGAGAGGACCGCGGCAAGGGCAUCGCGUCCGAGCAGUGAGACCGUGGUAGUAUAGUGGCUUUCCUUUUUGCAUUAGCACACCUAUGUAUUGAGAGAGAUUCAUGUAGGUGAGGAUUUGGAGAGCUAUGUAUUUUGGAUGAUCAAAUAUAUUCAUUUUGAGAAAAGAUGUAAAUGUAAAUAAAAGCAAACUAUUGUAAUAAUUAGUAAAGUACUCUCUUUAUUUCACUUGUAUAUCUAGUGGAUUACUUGCUCUUGUUGUUGUUGGCACUGUUUGUGGCCCGUUGAUUGUGUACUUAUAGAAUUUAAAAUUCUGGGUAAAUUCUUGUACUCGAUCUGUUGUUGAGCUUUGGGCAGACAGGGGAGGUGCUGUCCGUUCGGCGUCCGUUCGCUGCGCCCGAACCGUGCCAAAUUGGUAGGGGUGCCGGGGUAGGGGCGUGACAGUAAGUAUGCAUGCAACAACUGCUACUAUAGACAGAUGCGUCAACUGGACGUAUAGACCAAAUAUACCCAAUCUGGAACGGCCGUAUUGGUAAGCAACACCUCAGGCUGAAAGCAUAUAACCCCUCUUGGGCUCACGGGUUGACACUAGGAAUCACUUUUUCGGAAAAGAACACCCUCUUGCGGUGGAUCAGACCGCUGGUGUUCGUGAAAUGCGCACGAGCAGUGGCGAUUGAUGCUGAUAUGCUCAAAAGCCAAACAUCGGCAACUAGCCGAUCAUCCAAUCCCUCAGGGUAAACCGACCGUAUAGGUCAUCAAACAGUAAGGAACACAAGUACCGACCACUCAAGUCCACUAGGAUGGAACAACUCAACAUCCUAUCAAAGAUAUGCAAGUAUAAUCUAGAACUAACCGUAAGCCACUAGCCGACAAUCCUACCCCUCAGGGUACACCGACCUCAUAGGUCAUCACUCGACAAGAGUCACGAACUGACUGACUAGGUCACAGACAUGUCAAAUAAUGGAUAUGAGUAAACUAUAAUCAUCCGUCGGCAACUAACCGACAAUCCCACCCCUCAGGGCAUACCGACCUCAAAGGUCAUCGAACGACAGGGGUCAAGGAGCAGACCGAAUAGGUCACAGAUACGAGAUACAAGAACCAACCAACCAGGUCACUAAUAUAAAGUACGAGAACCGACCAACCAGGUCAACGGGUACUGAAUGCAACAACCGACCAACUGGGUCAACAUCUAUCACAAGUAGAUAAAACUAUCUACUUCUACUAAGGAUACUAAUCAUGCAAACAGCGAGUAGAGUAAGAUGUAAACAAUAUGGGUGCAAGGCUCAAUAUACUAUACUACGCAAUAGGAAUAACAGGAGAACAGGGAUAGAAGGAUAUCACCGAGCAUGCACCACUGUAUCGACGUCGGAUCGAAGUACCCACCUGUACAAAUGUCGCGUCUGUCUCCUGACCGCGAAAGAUCGUAAACCGGACCUACGGAGGGUCCACCGGGUUAGUAUCUAACCCACAAAUAUAAAACACUAACACAUAGGCCCACAAUUAUAUCUACGAGAAUCGGUUUCCCAAAAUCGAUUGCCGAACUCACUGGAAGUCCCGAAAAUCGUAUCGGGGCUCCGCCGGGACUCACGAACUAUCCCGGAACUCACCGACUCAAGAUACGAGUCGCCUGCUGCCACUAAACACAUAAUUUCAUGUAACAUGGCGGCAAAGACACUAACUCACACCGAAACGAUUAUCGUUAGAUAAUCGUUCCAAUCCGGGUUCCUAGAAGUGUCCAAUUCGACACCGGAACCCACCAUCGCUCACCCGUCGUUUUCAGACCCUCAAAAUGACACGGGUGGACAGCCAUCAAGGCUCAGCGACGACACAAAUCAUCACAAAGCACCGUCGGAAGAAUUCUGAACUAAAACCGCGUUCCGUCGGCGGAUUUCGCCGAAAAACGCGCUGGAGAUCAACAUUUGAUUUCCAAAAAAGCCUGGGGCCUUGGACAAUCAGCCGAGAGGUCACCUACAAUCCACACACACUACCAACAGCAACCACACUAAGCACAAAUGCAUAAAAACCCUCCCGAUUACAUGAAAUCGCAUUAUUUCAUGCGAUUUCUGGGGUUUUAUGGCCCGACAGCGCGAACUGAGUAUCAUUCAGCCACUCUGAGACACCCGCUGAUAGAUCUCGAUGUGCCGAAGGCCAUGCUCACACUUCGGAGCACUGCUGUCCACUGUAGGAGGUGCGGGAGCGACUCGAAGUUCAGCGAAAACUGCGUGCUGAAACCAAAACGCUUCAAACAAUCUCAUCCGACACUCGCUGACCCUAAAUGAGGUGAGCACUGUGAUCAUCACUGACUGACAAUCACCAUGUUCACCUCCGGAGGCAUCGGAACAGCCUCGGGUCACCGGAACAGGGUAACCAACCCCAAAAAGUGCACAGAUAAGCUAAAUAAAGCUCACCGGAGCUAGGCGGAGCACAACUUGGCCGGCGGCGGCCGGACGGCCGGCGCGCCGGUAGGGGGAGAUUUCUAGCGAUGGAGGAAGGCUGGGGCGCGCGUCAGCCGGCAACGGAAGGCGCCGGAGGCGGUGGGCAUUGAUGCCCUAGCCGCACCAAGCCGAGGAGAGCACGGCCCAGGUCCGGCCAAUGGGGAGCUCCGGCGGCUGGAGCGUCGGUGGCACUCGGGUGCGACCGACCAGGGGAGGCCGGGGUUCCCGCAUUUCGGCGAUGGAAGCCGGCGGCGGCGGCGCUGGCCGAACCCGAGCCCGCACGGGCUUGGCUCAGGCUCUGCGAGUUCCCUCCGGCCAUGGCGGCAGCCGGGGCAACUAGGGAAGGGAGCGGGCCUCCUCUGGAACCGAGAGGAGGAAUCAUGGACCGCGGCCGAGGGCUGGGGGCGCGACGCUGCAAAGCUAGGCCGCACCAACUUGGACUGGCCGCAGGUUUGCAGUCACAGUGCGGCGGCGCACUGGGACGACGACGACUGACUGGAGGAGUCGCCGGACGUCGAGGGAGGGUGGCACGACUGGUUCCAGGAGGCGGCAGCACAUGGGUCUAGCUUGGGUUCGGCCCGUGUAGACCCAUCUCGGCCGCAAAGAGCUAGCGACGGCGGCGGCGGCCUGUGGGGACGGCGGCGGCGGCCUGUGGGGACAGCGGCGGUGCCCGUAGUGGGUUGCCUGAGGUCUAGGCCGCUGCCAAGGGUGUGCCCAAGGGUGAGGACCACCAUGGCUGGUCCACGGCAAAGAUGAAGGGUGGUUAGGUGGAGAAAUAUAGGAAGAGAGGCCACCCAAGCUUUUCCGGCGGCCGGGGGACCUUGCCGGCGGUCGGGGUGCACGCACAGCUAGGGCAUGGUGAUGCUAGUGAUGGCUAGGGUUAGUUGGGGGAGCUAGGUCGGCUGGAUCUAGGGUUUCAUGCAAAGAAACCCUAGUCGCAAACUUAUAUACAAGUGGCAUUUUGCAUAAACAUCCCCCAAAGCUGAAUAUUUUCAUCCGAGUCCCUGCCCACGCGUGUAUUCUGCACGUACGCACCUCCACGUCCGAUCCCGCGCUAUUCGGUACAUAAAAUAUGAUGACUUUUGCGAAGUUUCCGAAUCACCACCUUCGACCUCUUAGCGAAAACUAUGCAAUUACCGUAAAUCCGUCCAUCGUAUUUUUGAUCCGACUGCGCCAUCGCGUUCAGCACGACGGGGGCAUCGAAACUACAAUUUCGUUUCAUCCGAUUUGGUCGCCGAUUUGCGACAGAAUCCGUCCGCUCUCCAACUAAUCCAAAUAUCACACAUAUACCAAUGUGUAAACCCAAUAAACCAAAUUUCGCAUUAGAAUUUAACUUCCCUACCGCUAGUAGGGACCCGAAACAUCCUUCACCCAACUCCAGGUCACAAGCACGGAGUACGAGGAGUUUCACAAUGCAAGAAUAGCAAAGAGCGAAAACUCUCUUUUGAUAAAACUCCUUUUUCUCGAAAACCGUGCAUCAGAUCUGAAAUCUGUUAGGGCCAUUGGUUCCAGAAUAGCUGAACCGAUCGAAACGAGCUAUUGGAUCGCUAUGAAAGGAGUCCGAUACGCGCCGAAAGCCAACUCUACUCCGUGGCUUCUCCGGAAAACCGGAGUUACUAUUCACAUUAAGUGAUUAGUAUUUAUCGCGUAACUUCUUCAUUCUAACUCGUUUUCUCCUGAAACUUGACGAGUGCUCAUGUAAUUAAAUUACACACAAAAACAUCGUCAAUAGAGAGUUUAGCUAAACUGCCAAAAUCUCAGUCCUUACAAACAUAUUAUUUUCUCGAAUGAAAUAACUAAUUGAAUAAACCCGAUCAAUACUCAACUCUAUCUUCAUUUGGAAUAUCUACACUUUUGGUCUUCAAGUUAGUUACUCGUGACAGUAUUGUCCUCAUACUUUAAUGCGUUACUUUUCUUGCUUAAAGUAUACGCAUGUAACGCUUAAGUACCCAAACUUUUAUUAGUCGUAAUUUUCGACUCGAACUAUGAGACUUAUGAUAUUUUAAUUCUCAACUUUUACUGUUGUUAUAAAUAUAAUUUUUCAUUCUUAUAAUUUUUAAUUUGCAUAAAAAAUCCACAAGUUUUGAGCUUUUACAAAACUGGACCACUUUUUUCAAUUUUGUAGAUUCGGAUUGGAUUUUUCGCCAUCGGACGAAAAUACCCUUAUUCCUUUUCUUUCUCUCUCUUCUUUUUUCUCUCUCUUGUUUUUUUCCGUCGUUAUUUUUUCUUCUUCGACAAACCCACCUCCUACGACAACACCCUCCAUCUCCUCCCCCAGAUCCAACCCCCAUUCCCACGGUGCCAAUCUCGAUGACUCCCGCAGCGAUGACGGCAGAGGAGGAGGCCGGGGAUCCCUCUCCGCCGACCACUUCUCUUCUGACCUCAUCUGUGCCGACAUCGACGCUGACCUCGCGGAGAUCGCCGGCGCCCUCCCCAUCAUUGCCGACCACUCUUCUAUAUCUUUUUUGUAGUUGCGAUAGAGUGCAAGCAAGAGGUGGUGAAAAAAAAAUUAUAGAGAAAAAAAAAGAAUAAUAAAAAAUAAAAAAAAUAUUUUUUUCCUAAAAAAAGAAAAAAUAUAGAAAAUAAAACAAGAUGAUAAGAUUGCAUUGUUAAAAUAAGAUUACACUAUUUUAAAAAAAUUUGCACUGUUUUAAUGAAAAUUGCACUAUUUAAUAUAGAAAAUACAUUAUUUUGGAAUGAAUUUUACAUUGUUUAGAUCAAAAUUGCACUAUUUAGAAGAAUUUUGCACCAUUUAUUUCUUUUUCUCUUUCUAUUCUUUUUUUUCUUCUUUUUUCGCCGCUGCCUCCUGCCCGGCCCGAGGCCCGCCUCCUCCGCAUGCCCCUCCCCGACCCCGCCUCACCCGCCUCAUCCGCCUCCGUCCUCCUCGCCCUUGCUCGCUCCGCCGCGCCCCACCGCGCCCUUCGCGUCACAUGCGCUUGCCUAGCCGACGCAUGCCCCGCCCCGACCCCGCCUCACCCGCCUCAUCCGCCUCCGUCCUCCUCGCCCUUGCUCGCUCCGCCGCGCCCCACCGCGCCCUUCGCGUCACAUGCGCUUGCCUAGCCGACCCCGCAAGGCGGGCCUUGGGCCGGGCGGGAGGCGGCGGCGGAAGAAGAAGAAGAAGAGUGUCACGCCCCGGGACACAGCGGAAGCCCGCCCAGUACGUGUCCAGACCCGCCAUACGUCUAAAACAUAUAAGGCGUCUAAUAGAAAACGAUAAAGAGAGCAGUAGAAGAGAGACAUCUAGAAGUAUCAGAGCAAGUACAACUAGAUUCUAUAAUAAGAGAGUAAACAAAAGGCUAAAAAUCCACUAGAAGUAAACCAUAAGUAGUACAUCCGAAAUCCAAAGUACAAAAGCUAAAAGUAAUACAUAGGUGGUCUCUAUACAUGGAUGCAAAACCUCUCUCUCUCACAACAACAAACAAUAAGAAAGAAAACCACCUAAGCAAAAUGUAAAUCCUUGCUAUCUAGCUACGCGACCCCUUUGUCGCGAUCCCGUGCCUCCACCGGUGCUGAAGGCUCUGAAGGAAAACCAUAAAACAGAGGGCGUGAGAACUAUUAAAUAAUAGUUCCUAGUGGGCAAUUACUGACUUCAGUACAAUGCGCCACUAGGCCCGAAAACCAAGCAGGUAUAAGUAAGAAUAAAUAAGCAAUAUGAAUGACAAGUAUUUAAACAUGAAUACUUACUAAACCAUGAUAUCUCUAUUUAGCAUGAAUUUGUAUAAGUAAUAAAGCUACUGUAACAUGAAUGUACAUGAGUAUGACCAACAUAAUAUCCACAAGCUAAAUAGUAAAAUGUCAAUGUUUACUAUUCUAGUCAAUGUCCACUCGGUAUACUAAGUCAUCAAUGUUCCAAUCCUAUAGGACCUACCCGUGGGUAGUCCUACCUGCGCCGUGCCUAAUGGCCCCGUGGUAGUCAACAUCCCCACUCUAGGAAUGAGCCUUCCCCACGGCAUCCUAUUUCGGCGCCCAAUCCCGCAUGGGCGAGUAUAUGUCGCGAUGGCUAUCUCCGGAGUGCCGGCUUAUGGGGAGCGACCCUCACAAGCAUGUGCGAAUAAGCACAAUGACAAGCAAGCGUAAAAGUCCGUCUCAAGUCUCAAGUCAUCAUGUCUAAAACAUGGAAUGUAACCUAUGUCUCAAUGGCCUAUCACUAGGUCAUCGUGUCUAAAACACAGAAUAUAGUCUAUGUAACAAUGGCCUAUCUUUAUGUCUUUAUGUUGAAGCUUCACAGUUUACUAGUUCAAGUGCCCUUUUAUGGCACUUUUGUUCACUUUGUCCAAACAUGAGUUAGGAGUUCAAGAGUACCCAAUUCAGGUUCUAUUCAUCAUAGGAGACAUAAUUCCAACUUGCAAUAUAGAAUACUUUUCACAUGCAUGCCUAAUACACAUAUAGCUCUACUAUAUAGAGUUGAAUUUUCGCGUUACAUAACACAUGCAUUUUAAGUAUUCUAAAAUUCAUAAAAAUCAUAUCUAGCAUGAAUAUGCAUGCAUCUCGAUGAAACGACAAGGGUAGAACACAUAAAGGAUAUUUCUCCCCUAUUUCAUGAAGUCAUACCCACCGAAACUUCUCGAAACCCUUCAUUUGCUCCGACGAAGGUGCCCACUACUUUCCUAGUACUCUAAAGGUCACAAAAGGAGGGAUACACGAACGUUACGAACAAUCAUAUGAUCAAACAUUAAACAACCCAAGCUAAGGUGAAGAAAACUCACCGGAUGCGAAGAAAGCUCUCUUGAUCUCCAAAAGGGAGUUAGAGGCCUUCUAAUCCAACCUAAACGAAGGUUCUAAUCCAAUCAAUAAAGCUCUAAAAGCUUCCAAUCAAAAAGCCCCAAAUAAAGCUCUACGUCGUCGCUCGGCAUAGCUCCCUGUCUACUCUGUGUCGUCAAAAGUCGCUCCCAAGCAAUACGAAUCUUGUCUUCAGCUUCCUGGAGCACAUCAGGGCCUAAAGCCAAUCUCUCGCCAACUUCACUCCAAUGAAGUGGCAAGCUACACUUCCGUCUAUAAAGUGCUUCGAAGGGUGCCAUCUUGAUGCUUGCUUGAUAACUAUUGUUAUAAGCAAACUCCGCUAUUGAUAGAUGCUGCGACCAUCCUCCCUGGAAGUCUAACACACAUGCUUGGAGCAUAUCCUCUAACGUCUGAAUAGGACGCUCCGACUGCCCAUCACUCUGAGGGUGGAAAGCAGUGCUGAAAUCCAAUCGAGUGCCUAAGGCGUCCUGCAGACUCCUCCAAAAGUGAGACACAAAUCGGGUGUCUCUAUCAGAUACAAUCGAGGUAGGCACUCCGUGAAGUCGCACAAUCUCAUCAAGGUACACUUGUGCGAGCUUCUCUCCAGUCCAAGUAGUAUGUAUAGGUAUGAAGUGCGCCGACUUCGUCAACCUAUCCACAAUAACCCAAAUGGCAUCAUGCUCGGCUUGAGAGCGAGGCAAUUCUAUAACAAAAUCUAUAGUGAUCUUCUCCCACUUCCACACGGGAAUCGGUAAACUCUGAAGUUUUCCCGCGGGUAAUCGGUGUUCAGCCUUCACCUGUUGGCAAGUUAGACAUCUAGCAACAAACUCACCAACAUCCUUUUUCAUCCUUGGCCACCAAUAAAGCAACUUUAAGUCCUUAUACAUCUUGGUGCCUCCUGGAUGUAUAGCAUAGGGUGCUCGAUGUGCUUCUUGAAGAAUGUCUUCUCUAAUUCCCGAAUCCGCCGGUACACAUAACCGUCCACGAAAACGCAUCAACUUUUGCUCAUCCACAAGAAAAUUGCCGGUGCAACCAUUGACCAUUUUAUCUCUAAUCUUUUGCAAUUCCAUAUCGAAAACUUGCUUUUCUUUAAUUCUAUCCAAUAAGGUAGGUUGCACCACCAAGGUCAUCAACCUCAAGAGCGUGUCAGGAGUCACAACCUCCAACUCCAACCGCUUCAUCUGCUCGAUCAACUGCGGUUGAGCAACAACAUGCAUCGCUAAGUUUUCCGUCGAUUUCCGACUUAGCGCAUCCGCCACCAUGUUAACCUUGCCUGAGUGGUAAAGAAUCAUCAGAUCAUAAUCCUUGAGCAGCUCCAACCAUCUGCGCUACCUCAAGUUCAGCUCCUUCUAAGUGAAUAGAUACUUCAAGCUCUUGUGAUCUGUGUAUAUUUCACACCGCUCACCAUAAAGAUAGUGGUGCCAUAGCUUUAAUGCAAAGACUACGGCCGCCAACUCCAGAUCAUGCGUAGGAUAGUUCCUUUCAUAAUCCUUCAAUUGGCGAGAAGUAUACACGAUCACCUUGCCAUCCUGCAUCAAAACGCAACCUAAUCUAUUAAAUGAAGCAUCGCUAUAAACCUGUAAGGACUGAGAUUUUUGUAGUGUAGCUAAACUCUCAGUUGACGAUGUUUUUGUGUAUAUUUUAAUUACAAAAGCACUCGUCAAGUUUCGGGAGAAAACGAGUUAAAAUGGAGAUUCUACGUGAUUUUCAAGUUUCACUUAAAGUGAAUAGUAACUCGGUUUUCCGGAGAAGGCACGGUGCGAAGUUGGCUUCUGGCGCAUAUCGUACUCCGUUCAUAGCAGUCCAAUAGCUCAUUUCAAACGGUUUGGUUAUUCUGGAACCGAUGGCGCUGACGGAUUUUGGGUUUGAAGCAUGGAUUUCGAGAAAAUUUGAAAAUACAUAUUCUAUAUGUAAUUAUGUGUCAUUUUGGCCUUUUGGAGAGAAAGCAGAUUUCGUCGCGAAUCCGUGACCGAUCGAGGCGAACCAAAAUCGUAGCUUUGUUGUCUCCGUCGUGCUGAUCGCACUGGUGUGAUCCGUUCGCAAAUCUAACGGACGGAUCUACGGAGAUUGCACGUUGAUCGAGGAGAGGUCGGUGUUGGCAAAACGGUAUUUUCGCAAGAGUUACGACAUUUUAUGUAUCGUUUUGCGUGAAAUCACAUGUGGAGGGGUAUUCACGCGUUUUUUCUCGCGCUGUGAAGGACUCGGAUUAAAUAUCGAGUUUUAGGGGACUUAUGCGCGAUUUGGAGCUUAUAUAUAUUGUGUAUCCUAGGGUUUGCUCAUUGGAAACCCUAACCCUAGCUCGAGCUAACCCCCAGCCACCUUCAUCCCUCUUCCCUGCCCUAGCCGCACGCCUCCAGGCCGCCACCGACCGAGCCCCGGCCGGCCAGCAGCAACUGCAACCUCCUCAGCCACCUUUUUCGCCUCCCUCUCCCUCCAUCUUUCUUUCUCUAGGGUUGCGGAUAGAUCUGAGGCUGCAGUCGCCUCCCUGCACCCUACAAGUGUCACCCCUGUGCCCUGGCAAGCCUCCCUGCCGACCGCCGUCACCUCUGUGCGUCAACGCUUGAGCCGCGGGCCGCCGCCGUCAUCGCCCGCCGCCUCCCUCCUCCUUCUCUGGCAUCUGGGGACCCGCCGCAGUCAUCCCCGACCGGUCCCGGCCAUCAUCUUCGCUCGGAGGAGCCGCUAGACCCGUGCCCUAGCUUGUGCGGGGGUGGCUCUCUCCGCCGACACCGCCGCCGUCGCCGCUCCCAGCCGCCACCCGAGGUGAGCAUCGUGUUCCUCACCUCCCCCGCACCUAUCUCGCGCGUUGCCGUGCCGCCGGAGGCCGGCCGGAGCAAAGCCCGAAAUAGGGCUUAUUUUGGAUGGUUUACUAUUCCGAGCUUCUUGAGACAUCCCUAUCACUGCAGAAGGGAGCACGAUGAUCGUGACUCAUCGCUGAUCAUCGUGCUCACCUUAUUUUUUUGUCGGGAAGGCUUCGUUCCACUGUUUCGGAGGUGUCGGUCUUUUUUGGGCCUUUUUGGCUGCUAUUCCAUGCUUGCGCGCACUUUUCUAGCGAUCCGAGGCUGUCCUGAUGCCUUCGGAGGUGAGCACGGUGAUCGCUGGUCUAUGCUGAUCACAGUGCUCACCUUACUUUGGAUCAGCGGAUGUCGAAUCAGCCUGUUCGGUGCGAUUUUCCCCGACUGUGCGCUGUUCGUAGAAAUUUCAGGCUGCUCCCGCGCUUCCCACAGUGAGCCAUUGUGCUCCGGACUUUGAGCACGGGCUCCGGCACGUCGAGACCUAUCAGUGCGUGUCUCGGCGGACCUCGGGAGUCCUCGGUUUGUGUGAACGAGCCACUUGAUCGCCCGAUUUACAUAAAAUGAUAGGAUUUUAUGUAAAGUGAGGGGCUUUUAUGCAUUUGUGCACCUUGUGGCUACUGUGGGCAGUGUGUUUGCAUGUGCGGUGACCUCUGGACUGAUUGUCCAUGAUCCGAUAGCCUUCGCGGAAAUCGAAGAGUCGAUUUCAGUGCGUUUUUCGGCAAAAUUCGCCGAAAGAACGCGGUUUCGGUUCGAAUUUCUUCCGACGCGGUUUGGUUGUCCUGUGAAUUGUCGCUGAGCUUUGUUGGCUGGUCACCAUCAUCAUUUUGUGGGUUCGGUGAUGAUGGGUCAGCGACGGUAGGUUUCGGUGUCGAAAUAGACACUUCUGAGAAUCCGGAUCCGAACAAUUAUCCGACGAUAAUUGUUGGGUUAUGUUACGUUGUGUUUGCUGCCAGGACAUCCAAAUUGGAGUGUUUUGUGGCAGCGGGUGACUCGUGACACGACUUGGUGAGUUUUCGGGACACUUAGUGGGUCCCGACGGCGUCCCGGUGUGGUUUUCGGGACUUCCGGUGACUUACGGUGAUCGAUUUUGGGAAACCGAUUCGGGGAUCUGUGUGGGGGUUUGUGAGCCUUGUGCUUUGGGUUAGUGGGUUGGAUACUGACCCGGUGGACCUUUGUAGGUCCGGUCGACUUGUGUGCNGUCGUCGCCCGCCACCUCCCUCCUCCUUCUCCGGCAUCUGGGGACCCGCCGCCGUCGUCCCCGACCGGUCCCGGCCAUUAUCGUCGCUGGGAGGAGCCGCUAGACCCGUGCCCUAGCUUGUGCGGGUGUGGCUCUCUCCGCCGACGCCGACGCCGCCGCCGCCGCUCCCAGCCGCUACCCGAGGUGAGCAUCGUGUUCCUCACCUCACCCGCACCUAUCUCUGGCCCGCGCGCGCCUUGCCGUGCCGCCGGAGGCUGGCCGGAGCAAGCUUGGCCGGAGCAAAGCCCGAAAUAGGGCUUAUUUUGGAUGGUUUACUAUUCCGAGCUUCUUGAGACAUCCCGAUCACUGCAGAAGGGAGCACGAUGAUCGUGACUCAUCGUUGAUCAUCGUGCUCACCUUAUUUUUUUGUCGGGAAGGCUUCGUUCCACUGUUUCGGAGGUGUCGGCCUUUUUUGGGCCUUUUUGGCUACUAUUCCGUGCUUGCGCGCACUUUUCUAGCGAUCCGAGGUUGUCCUGAUGCCUUCGGAGGUGAGCACGGUGAUCGCUGGUCUGUGCUAAUCACAGUGCUCACCUUACUUUGGAUCAGCGGAUGUCGAAUCGGCCUGUUCGGUGCGAUUUUCCUCGACUGUGCGCUGUUCGUAGAACUUUCAGGCUGCUCCCGCGCUUCCCACAGUGAGCCAUUGUGAUCCGGACUGUGAGCACGGGCUCCGGCACGUCGAGACCUAUCAGCGCGUGUCUCGGCGGACCUCGGGAGUCCUCGGUUUGCGUGAACGAGCCACUUGAUCGCCCGAUUUACAUAAAAUGAUAGGAUUUUAUGUAAAGUGAGGGGCUUUUAUGCAUUUGUGCACCUUGUGGCUACCGUGGGCAGUGUGUUUGCAUGUGUGGUGACCUUUGGACUGAUUGUCCAUGAUCCGAUAGCCUUCGCGGAAAUCGAAGAGUCGAUUUCAGUGCGUUUUUCGGCGAAAUUCGCCGAAAGAACGCGGUUUCGGUUCGAAUUUCUUCCGAUGCGGUUUGGUUGUCCUGUGAAUUGUCGUUGAGCUUUGUUGGCUGGUCACCAUCAUCAUUUUGUGGGUUCGGUGAUGAUGGGUGAGCGACGGUAGGUUCCGGUGUCGAAAUAGACACUUCUGGGAAUCCGGAUCCGAACAAUUAUUCGACGAUAAUUGUUGGGUUAUGUUACGUUGUGUUUGCUGCCAGGACAUCCAAAUCGGAGUGUUUUGUAGCAGCGGGUGACUCGUGACAUGAGUUGGUGAGUUUUCAGGACACUUAGUGGGUCCCGAUGGCGUCCCGGUGUGGUUUUCGGGACUUCCGGUGACUUACGGUGAUCGAUUUUGGGAAACCGAUUCGGGGAUCUGUGUGGGGGUUUGUGAGUCUUGUGCUUUGGGUUAGUGGGUUGGAUACUGAUCCGGUGAACCUUUGUAGGUCCAGUCGACUUGUGUGCAUCUAGGUUUUCCGACGUGAUUGUGGCAGGUGGGUGCUUCGAGCUGGUAGUCGGUGAGAGCGUUUCACUUUUCCCUAUUUUUUUAUUCCAGUAUUGUAGUCUCUACAUGUCAUUGCUUGGUUAUCAUUAGUAUAUCUCACUUUCUUGGCUGCAUCUAUUAGUUGUUGAUAGACAUGUAGAGCAGGUUGGCAUUUAUAUUUCGGUAUCUCUGUGGACAUUGGAUCCAGGCAACACAUUGACUCCUUUGUCAUGUGUUUCGACCUGGUUGAUCAUGGUUCGGCGUUGUACGCCCUUGUUGUUGGCUUCGGCCUAGGCACCGGCUUCAGCCGGUUUUUGUUUGAGCAUACCGGCAUGACUUAGUCACAACACUUGGGGGGAUUCAUGACACCGGAUCGGUUUGGCCACCGAUCGGAGGUGUACUUAUCCGGAUGGGUCGCCCUGUUGGGCGGAUGGAUCAGGUCGGUGGAGUUAGUGACAUGCAGCGCUUGAGGUCUGCGGACCAAUAUAGCAGGCACAGAUUCGGUACAGUUUCUGGUUGAUUACUUUGAGGCAUAUUUGCAUUGUUUUCUAUACAGUAGUAGUCUUACUUCUUGCUUCUUAUUAGAUCUGUUAUAGCUACUGUAGUUCUGUUUCAUAUCAGCAUACAUAUAUACUUGUCUAUCUAUCUCCUUUGAUUUCCGGUGAUUACGGUUUGCCUUCGUGGCUCUGUCGUACCCACUGGGAAACCAUGGUUGCGGUUUCUCACCCCCCAUUUUCCCAGGUUAUUCGGGCAAGGAGUUGGACUUUGGGCUCGACAAGAGGACGAUCUAGCUAGUCUGGUAUAGCGACCGUCACCCUGGUUAUUUCAUUCCUACUUUUAGUAGUUUAAAUAAAUGGUUCAGUUAGAUAAUCCUCUGAUUGCUUGAAUGUUGUGAACUGGCUUUAGUUGUGGAUGUUUCCGUUAUUUAUGCCUUUGAACAGAGGUUUGUGGAUCUGGAUGUUGGUUUUAUGGAUAUUGGAUUUUCGUGUAUUUACACAUCGUGGUUUUCUACCCCUCGAGGUAGUCGGUUUUCAAAAUAGAGUUACCGAGUGGGAAACAGUUUUAAAAAAAUUUUUUCGACUGUUUUAUGACUGAUUGAAUUAGAGUUUAAAAACAAAGCUUCCGGGUGGGGAGCACUUUUAAAUAGGAUGAUUGUUGUAUUGUGCAUUGCAUCAUCCAGCGCCUAAGGAGUGUUUAGAGACAUGCAUCAUUUCUAAGGAUUGCUAGCUGUAUGGAAAUGCAUGCAUGAUUUGACUGUUGAUUGGUAAAUGUAGGUUGUGGUUGAGAUCCUGUUAAUAUUGUUGGUACGCCGUGCAAAUACAAAGGAGACUCCGUUCGAGUGGACAGAGGAACUUUGUAUUUGU
This 60029-nucleotide long non-coding RNA is filed under the name Ananas comosus (pineapple). RNAcentral's name for it is "long non-coding RNA (ACOM_LNC024196)". Lineage: Eukaryota; Viridiplantae; Streptophyta; Magnoliopsida; Poales; Bromeliaceae. The record is from RNAcentral.